UUUUUUUUUUUUUUUGUCAACACAGGGAUAUUCGGGUUAAUCCUUACGGGGCCCGACUAAUUCUCUGCAGGACUCGAACCCUGAACAAGUCAGAAAAAUCGCCAUAUCCUAAGGAGGGAGAGCGUGUCCACUCGCGCUAUCCCAUGAGAACAGAAGACUAGCCACUUAAAAGUGGCAAGUUUGUGGGAAGCAGGGGUUGAACCCCUAACCUCCAGCAUCACCAAAGAGGUGAUGACCACCGGACCAAAUAGCCAGUGGCUAUCUCAUCAGUGAAUUGAGAACACAAAACUUUUUUUUUUUUAAGUAGCCACUGGAGGGCAGAUUAUUGCUUUCUGUCCAGAGAAUAACAAGUUUCCCCUUUGGCGUUGGUGUAAUUUACCUAAGACCCAAUAUAUAUAUAAUAUAAUAAAAAGGUAUGUAAUCAAGCACAUGAUUGUCAAGGGCAGCUACUGGUUUUGAGUUCUCCUGCGCUGUAUUGUAGUCCUAGAGAUAAGAAUCAAAGCUCACGUGCUUCAAAUUCAGUCUGUUUUUCAAACUCUUCACUUCAAUCGCAUAACAUGGUGUGAACACGACUAAGCCCAACCAAGAAUGGUCAAAUACCCAAAAAAAUUUUUUUUUUUUAAGAACACGGAGGCUUUUGAACUCCACUUACUCAUCAAUUAUUUUCCGCACGAGGAAAUCGAUGAAUGCUUCUGGCGGAGCGGUAAGGAACAGGACAGCACAGAACUAGUACAGCGCCACUACAAUUCAUUUCCUCCUUCCUUCCCCUUAAAAACAAGGGAUAAUUCCAGAAACCUCCCUGAGAUUUUUGACACUUUCAUUGACCUCCUUUGAGGUUUUAAAAAUUACAGCAACCUCCUUUAUAGAAAUUUGGAUACAUUACUUACAUAAGAUACAGUGAAAGUACUACUUUGCCCUAAGACAUUAUGCAUUAUUAAAAAAAAGAUUGGGACACUAAAUAAAUAAGAUUAACUAAUUAAACCAAAACAAUGAUUAUUUCAUUUCAAAUUAGCAACCAUAAUUACAAUAAAAAAUGGUAUCAAUUGCUUUCCUAGGAUGGCGCUUUUUUUGUGAUUGAUAUCACUUGACAACAGUUAGAAUAGACAAUCUUAUAUAAUCUGCACAGAUAGAUCUUAUGAGCAAAGAGAAAUAGAAGAAUAUUCUGAUUGACUUAUUUUGUUGAAUCUUAUGCUCAGACAAAACUAUUUAUGCCUUUUGCUGUUGAUUUGUUGACUAUGACUUGUAUGUUUUUUACACCAAUACUUUUACUUUUAUCUCGUCCACUAAAAUAAAAGAUUAAUUUUUUAUCCAAAUUUAGAUGCUUAUAUGAACAAUUUAAUAGCAUUAUAGAGUUAGUUGUGUUUUUUUAUAUGUAGCUGCAAAUGAUAAAAAAUUAUGGCCAUUACAAUUUGCACUAGAUAUGUGCAGAGACCAUUGUUGCUUCAAGUUAUAGUUGCUACAUCUUUUCAAAAUUUAUGUAUAUCUCUUGACAUUUAUUAAUUAUUUUAUUAUUUACUAAUACAACUUGAGGACAAAUUAGAAAAGGGCAUAUAUAGAAGAAAAUUAUCAUCUCACUCCUCAAAAUACUUUUUAACAGUACUUUUUCUGAAUUGGAUUGAUUUGUUAUCAAAACUUCAAGUUCAAGGAAGAUUAGUAUAAUUUUUGAAACUUCAGGGGAGGUCCGUGAAAAUGUCAGAAACCUCCCUUUUCUGAAAUUAUCCCUAAAAACAACGGCCGAUGUCUUCUAAUCCAGGCAGCACGGAUCGGAUGCGUCGCGAAAGAGUACCGAGCGUACGUGUUUUGUAAAAAGUCGUUACAGCCCAGACUAUUGGGCCCAUUGAAGCCGGAUACAACCCAGUGAAUCCAGAUCAAGCGAUUUCACGUAUAGGGCUUCAGGAGACAGUAGUGUACUGUAGCCCACUCAAUGUCGAUCUGUAUACCAUGUCCUUGUUGUAUUUGAGUGUUGAUUAGGGCUUAAUGUCCUUGUUGUAGCCCACUAAGUAAGGAAAUUUUAUAUACCGCUGAAUUGGCCGAUGGUACGAGACCAAAACUCAAAAAGUGGGAGCCUUACAUCAAAUGUACUGCUAAAAUUUUUCUCAUAUUUUUUCCCAUAUUGUUGAUAAAAAAACUUAUUAAAAUUUAGCAUUAAAAAAAAAACAAAUCAAUGGAUGAGGCUAAAUCAACAUUUUUACUUCCUAAAUCCUAACAUUGCACAAAUUUAAAUAGUAACGGUACGAAUUAGCAAUGCGCCAUCAAUUCAUCAAAGGCGUGGAGUUAACACAACGCGUAGGGUGUGUAAUUAUCACUUUGCAAAAGCCAAUCUUUCCAUCCACUCAUCAUACUAACUAGUAACUGCACACGACCAACCAAUCUAAUAACCCCCGGUUUAACUGCAAGUUGUGAAUACUCUACAUGGCCACAUAAAAUAGAUUUCUUUCAGGGUCGACACUUGAGUAUUCACCUUAAUAGUUGGAGUUGGAUGUUUUUCGCAUUUCCAUUUUAAAGAAGUGGAAUCACGAGUUGAAUUCUAGCCAAUUUAAAUCAGUUGAGUUGACUCAAUUCUUACCGUUUUUUUUUUUUUUAAUGUAAAUUUGUAGUAUAAUAGUAGGUGUAACAGGAGUGUUUGGAUAUCACUACUAUCUCAAAUAAUAUUUCGCUUGCAUCAUAAACACAUUUUCAACUCACUUUUUUUAUAUUUUCAAUCACCUUUUUAUCUUACAUACAUCACAUCACAUCACAAAAAGUACUACAGUAAUUAUUUCAAAUAAUACCCUAUCCAAACAAACAAUUGACCACUGCAUCAAAGCUGCACCAGCUUAUCAAAAAAAUAAUAACAAUAAUAAAAUUAAAUCAAAUUAACUAUGGAAUUGAAGUGGGCGCCCCACGUGCAUGAAAGAAGUGUAAGCGAUGGAGAAUGGGACGGCUGGAGAGCAUCCAAGUAACUUGAGCCACUCCCUUUUGUUUCCUCUCCCAUCCAGCCUUAUUGCAGCUUUGCUUUGUUUGUUUGCUCUAUUUUCUUUUUCUUUUUUUUUUUUCCCCGUUCCAUCCAAACUCCAAAGUGCGCCGUCCUCCCUUCCCUUCUGAGCUCUUUAACACUACCUAAAUUGCGGCACCACUGACUGCAACUCAUCAUCUGAUCUAAUAUAACUAUUUCACUUCUCCAUUUUCAGCGGCCACUCGAUCCUUCCUUCACGAACUCGCAAGUUUCCUAGUACGUCCAUCUCCCUCCUGCCUGGCAAAGUGAACAAGAGAUGUCAGACUGGGGUCCAAUAUUUGUGGCAGUGGUACUGUUCGUUCUGUUAUCACCGGGGCUGCUAUUUCAAAUUCCCGGCCACCACAGGUGCGUGGAAUUCGGCAAUCUUCAGACCAGUGGCGCUGCCAUAAUGGUGCAUUCCCUGCUCUACUUUGCUCUCAUUUCUGUCUUCUUACUGGCCAUCAAGCUCCAUUUGUACCUGGGGUAGAGUCUCAGAGACGACUGUGAAGGCACGAAUUUCUUUUCUUUUCUUCCUAUUUUUUUGUUUAAUUUAACCAAAAAAAAAAUUUGCGCCUCCACGGUGCGCAAACAUAAAACACAAAUGUCAAUAGUAAUAAUGUUAUAGUAGUAGUAUUUGUAUCUGCUGUUUUAAAUACUUGGGCUGGGACUUUUCGGUUUUCCCGGCCGGAAUCUACUGCAAUAUGUCUAAGUCGAGGGUUGCGCCUUAUCCAUUCAACUGCUUGAAUCUACUUCAAUUGAGUUGCACUGUUCAUUUUUUGUUGCUAUUUGCACGAACGAUCGUGCUCUAGGCGAUUGCUUCAUCAAUUACGAAGAUUAGGUGAAAUUACACAGUGUAUUCGUGGUGAAUUGGUGGAGUGGAUUUCGCUUAUAGAGUGGAUCGAUUGUGAUGUUGAACUCAUUGGUUACCAAUCAAAUUCUAGCUUCUUCAUAGAUAUAGAUAUAUACCUGUGUGUGUGUGUGUGAGAGAGAGAGAGAGAGAGAGAGAGAAUGAGAUUGUUGAGAAAUUGUCUGCACUUUGUACGAGUUUUAGUACUAAUAAUGGUACAAUUCCUUGGUGCAUUAGGAUGUCAAUUUACGAUGCUAGAGUGUAGAAUUAGCUUAUCUCAAAAUUAAAAGGGUACAAGUAAAAGACCAGAAGAAAGAAACAAAAUCCGAAACGCCUUGUUCUUUGGAGUAAUUUCAAACAACGAGAGGAGGAAGGUCCAUGCAAAGGCAUUCAAUGACUUGCAAGCAUUUAUUCGGCCAACAAUUUGCGACAAUAGUCAACAAAUUCAUUCCAGGCAGCUAUGCCAAUAAAUUGUGGAGUUACUGCUUAAAAAGAAAUCUCUGUACCAACGCCGAAUAAUUCUAGGCUCGUCUCAUGAAUGUGGUUGUGAGGUCAAAUCAUGGCUUGUUUUUUCCUUUUUUCUUUUUUUUUUUUCAACCAGCCUAGGAUGAAAUGCUAGCUGCAAUGAUGGUUACAGUACAGUUUCGAGAAGGAAGUCUUUCUUUCUAUCCAGACCACUCAUUUAAAAGAGAUGAUUAUAAUAAUAAUUAGGGUUAAUAACAGUACUUUGUUCCCCUGAACUUAGUGGGUAUUCACACUUUGUCCCCUUCAACCUUAAAAUAUGUACAUUUUUACCCCAUGAACAUUAGUCAAAGUUAGAAAUACCAACAAAAGUGAGUGAAAUGAUAUUAUUGUCCUUUUAUUUAUGAAAUUAUCUAUAACUUAAUAUUAUUAUUUCCUUUCAUUAUUAAAAAAUGUACAUCUUCCCUAUCAUAUCAAUAAUACAACAAUCUCUGGAAAAAAAAAGUUUACAUUUAUUUUAUGUCCUUAAAAUUUUUCCUAUUGGGUUAAUAUUCACUUUUUUUAAUAUGUUUCUUUCAAUUUAUUAUACUUUAAGUCAAACAAAAAAGGAUAAAUAAUAUAUUGCCAAAAUAAGGAUAAUUACCAUAUAUCUUAUUGAAAAAGAGGUAAUAUUAAACUUGUUUUUUGUUUUUAAAAAAAAGUAGUUUUUAUUAUUUCAGGUUACGCAAACUUUUAACUUAAUGCCAUUUUCAUUUUUUGUUGGUAUGCUCAUAGUUUAGUAUUAUUGCUUUUUCUUCUUUAAAAAAAAUGAAAUUUGAUUUUAUCUCCAUUUUUCUUCUUUAAUUUUAAAACUAAGGCAUAUCAGCCAUUUUUAGCGAAUUUGAUUAAGAAUUUAAUAUUGGAAUAAUUUGAUAAAUGAAAAUGACAAUGAUAUUAGUAUAAGAGUUUAAAAUAUUUAAAAUAAUAAGAAAUACUUUAAAAAUUAGUUUAGUAUUAUAACCUUUUUGAAAUUUUGGCAAUUGUAUUCAUUUUAGGCAUUGUGUUAUUGAUCCAUUUUGUUUGACUUAAAAUCUAAUAAAUUGAAUAAAACAUAUAUAAAUGUGAACAUUAAUCCAACAGAAAAAUCAAAGACAUAAACUAAAUAUUAACCAUCUUUAACUUUUUUUAGUUUGAUAUUUCUAUGCAGUUGAUAUGAUUGAGAUUAUGCAAAUCUUUUAGCAAUGGAAGAAAAUGAUACUAAAACCCUGAUAAUGAUCUACACGUACAAAGUUUCGGGUCGGGUGUUAUCCAAAUGCAGCAUGCUACUGGUACUGGUAAUAUUUAUCACGUCACUCGCUUUCAGGUCUACUAUUUAUCACGUCACUCGCUUUCAGGUCUACUAUUUAUCACGUCACUCGCUUUCAGGUCUACUAACCCGAAGGUAGCUUUUUUCACCUUUUAAAUGGUAAUAAAAGAUGAGAACUUGUUUUAGUAGAGCUUCAGUUGUUCACACGUUCCGCCAUUGCUAAAAGGAUCGUGAAUUGGUGGUUCGUCUCUUCUCAAGUGUAGGGCCCCAUGCGUUUUUCAUGAAUCAUCUACGUCUACUCACUCUCUUUCCCAUCAAGAAAUUGCAUACAAAAUAUAGUAGAUCAGCAUUUUUAUUUUACUUGCAUCAUACAUAUAAGUUUUAAUUAAUUUUUAUCUCACAUUCAUUAUAUCUACAAAAAUAUUACAUUAAUUAUUUUAAAUAAUAAAACCCCAAGCAUCCUCUUCUGUAUUUUGGUUCUUUACAGAAAAUGGUAUAGAAAUAAAAUUGCAUUCUAUUACGAGAAAGUGUUGGUACUUUUUUUUCGAAUACGAUAAAUUUUAUUCUAUACAUAUACCUAUUAUGUACUAAGGAGAAGGGGUGGAUUCAAGCGGAUCAAUGGAAAAGUCGGAAAGAACUGAAGCGCAUUGUUACUUUAAAAUUACAUAAGAUUUUACUAAUUCUGUUUUUAAUUUGCAAGAAGAACCACAUACUGUCUGGAAUCAUUGGGUUUGUUUGGAUAGAGUAUUAUUUGGAAUAAUUACUGUAGCAUUUUUUUAUGAUGUGAUGUAUGUGAAAUAAAAAAAAUAAUUAAAAAUAUAAAAAAAUAAGUUGAAAAAUAUAUUUAUGAUGUAAAUCAAAUAUUAAACAAAUCCAUUAUUACUUUCCCAUGCAGGGGCGGGGCUGCUCUUUCAAGUAAACUUUCGGCAGCAAUUUUUUUGUUUUUUAUUAACUCCCCGGUAGCUUAGCUUCCCGACUGAAGCAAACUUGCCUUCGCUUUUAAAAGACCAUUAACUUAUUACUAUUAGUAGUACUCGGUGCUUUUAAGCAUGCAGCUCAAGACGAAAAAUCAACCCAGUUGCUUCCCUUAGCUAUGCUACUUCCGCGCGAAAUUCCAGACAAACACGAAAAAAAACCAAUAAUAAUAAUAAUAACACGUACUACUAACCGUCGCCUAGCAAAUCGAAUGCUGUGUAUCUCAUCACCCAAAGCUAUGAAAGCCACUUAAAAAAAAAUUCAGAAAAGCUAUGUUUAUGAUAUUUUUUUUUUUAAGGACAAAGCUAUGAAACUUGGGUAAAACAAAAUACUAGUAGUACUUACUAUACGGUGCAGCAACUCAAAUGACUAAUUAAUUAAUUAAUUAAAUAAAAUGGCGUGGUGCAGCAGCAAGAUCCAGAUGGAUAGCAGGGACAACCCGCCCAAUCUUUAAGAUACUGCCAGUCUGCCACGUACUAGUAAAUGCUUUUGGGUCACAAGGACCGUAACCCCAUCCCCAUUGCCCGUUUCACUUUGUAACUUUUUUAGUAUGCCCCAAAUCCACACAGCUUUUCUACUACUACUACUAACUUUAUGACAACGAUUUUAGCUGUAUCCUAUUCCUCCCAUUCUUGUUAUUCCUUUCUUUGCUCACUCCUUCAAGAAUCCGCUGCCUUUAAUUUUUUCAAGCCUAUAAGUAGUACGGUGUAAUCAAUCUUUCUUAGCUUAGCAAAACUGGUGUGUAGUGAUAGUAAAAGAAAGAGGGAGAUAGGGAAGGCAGGACUCAGGAGAGAAGAGAUCCAGCAGCAGUAGCAAGUUGUGAGAGUAAGAUGGCAGAUUGGGGGCCGGUGGUAAUAGCGGUGGUGCUGUUCGUGCUGUUGAGUCCAGGGCUGUUGAUUCAGUUACCGGGGAGAUCAAGAGUGGUGGAGUUCGGAAACAUGCAGACAAGUGGGCUGUCGAUACUGGUUCACACCAUCAUCUUCUUUGGCCUCAUCACCAUUUUUCUCAUUGCCAUUGGGGUUCAUAUCUACACCGGCUAGACCAAACCACACCAAUCCCCCCCCCCCCAGCUAGCUUCUUCUUCUUCUAUAAACGUUUUUUCCUAUUGCUGUCUCUGUCUGUCCACAGAUAUCUUGAUUUCUUAAUUUCUUCUUGUUUGCUGGUGUAGUUUGACUGGGUUGAGCCCCUGAAGCUGCACGGGAUUUUAUCGUGUUCUCAUUGGGGAGGGGGCCACUGUGUGGUUGGUCUGCUUUAAUUUGCUUUCGUUCAGUAAUCGGUGUUGUUUUGGGCUUUUCAAGUGCAUUUCAAUAGAUAGUUUUUGCAAUCUAUAUACUGCUGCCGUGCUACGUUACUAGUAUCAAAAAAGCAGCUGCUACUUCAAAGUUCUUGCAUCUUUUAAUUGUACUUACAAAUUUGUGCACGCAUUCUUGCAUCUUAAUUGAUUAAUUUCUGUCUUGAAACUCGUUUCCGCAAUUGGAUGAGCGAUUUGAGAUUUGCCGUUCCCGUGACCCGACCCAUCUUCAAUCAAUAAUUUUUGGUGUUAUCUGAGCCCUUUCACUAAAGUGAUAGUCUAGUUGCUUAAUUGCUAGAGGAUUAGCCCGCACCAAAACGUAAACAAUUCGUAUUCAUUACUACCGUUGCCUCGAGAAGACUUUAGGAUGCGAUUCUUCCACAAAAUUCAACAAAUGCAUAGACGAAUCCAGCGCACCAGGCUGCUUUGAAUCCAUGCCAACACAAGUCAUCAAUCCUCCUUAAGUAGGACUCGGAUUUUUUUCACUUCUUGCAUCUGGUGUUUUCUUUUGUCACAAGGCAAGACAUCUGGGGUUUUCUUGCAUCUGGUGUUGAAACCCAGACAUGUCUAUCCUGGUCCUUGUUUAGAUUGCGAUUUUUCGUCGAAAAAUUACAUCAUUUUUCGUGAUCUCGAAAAAUUACAUCGUUUUUCGUGAUCACAUUUUUUAAUUAUCUUUUUUCCUCAUAUACAUCAAAUCGCUGUAGUACUUUUUUCAUAAAAAAUCAUAAAAAAUGCAAUCCAAACACAACCCUAAUUAUCGACUUGUACUUCUGAUACCCAAAAAGAAAUGGUACACAUUCAACAGCUAACAAUUCAUGCCUAUUACUUGCUCUCUGUUUCCAAAUGAAAGGAUGCGCGACAGAGAGUAUAUAUUCAAAGGCACAAAAAGCCAUAUCAUCGUAACAUAACGUGGUGCAGAGAUGUGUUAAAACUGUAGAAAGAAAUUGGUUUCUCCUAUUUCUUUGUUUUGACUUUUGAGUAGUAAUAAUAAGGCUCCCCCUGCCCUAUAUAUGCUUCUUCGAUUACUUGUACAGCGCGCCCUUUCCGGUCUUUAAUGCAGAGGCCAUAUAAAAAAUAAUAGACCCAAGAGAGAGAGGUACCCAAAAGACUGGGCACUGUUCCUAAAAGUUUAAAUCAAAGCCAGCUCCAAGCUUCCAUAUGCUAAUACUACAGAGACCAGCAGCCAGCCAUAAGAAAAAUCACGCCGCUUAAUCUUGCCGAGCAUCUCCCAACUAAUCUAAACUGCUUCACAAGAGCAUCCAGGCUGCAGCAGAGAUAGAACAGGGGAAUUUUAUUCAACAAGUCUUCGAUGCAGUGAUUUCAGACCAUUUUACCAUUUAUUUACCAGAGAGAAAACAGAGGACAACUAUCAUCUCAUAUGACAAAGGAGAACCAUAACCAUAUAAGAAAAUGAAAAACCAUCACUUCAGACGCUCGGCUUUAACUGCAGUUGUUACCCCAUACUCGGCUUUAACUUUUCAUGAAUUAACCAAUUUUUAUGCCUAGACUAAAUCUAACAAAAAGCCAGAUCAGAUCAGGAAAGCAUGUGCUAUGGCACAGAGUACCAGGUAAAAUAUGGUUUUACUCAAUGGAAAAAGCCACUAUUACUAUUACUUCAUCAAAAAAAAAAAAAAGCAAUGAAAAAGGAGCAGCUUUCAUGACACACUACUAUCUUUCAAGUCCUAGAAAACAAAUCGAUAUAACUCAAACAGUACUGGACUAUUAGAGAAUUUCCAUUGCGAGUUAUCUUUAACACCACUAGAAUGGCCAAGAAAUGUUGGUAGAAUGAAGUCAACUUGAAAUUAUACCACAUAUGGGGUCCCGACUCCCGAGUAAAAUUUAGACUGCGGUUCUCCUCAAAUUCACGACACAACUUAAACGUGGAACAAAUGAUGUCAGGGCCACUUCCACAGUGUAAAUCACUCUCAAGAAAAAAAAAGUUCAAAUCAGUUAAAGGAAGUAGUUAUAUAUCGUUUUGAAAAAAAAAAAAAAGUCAAAGGAAGUAGUUAUCCGGUGAAUGCAAGGACCAUAAAAGAUCUCAAACAUUUCUUUAGUAAUCACAUCAGUGACGUGUGGGAGAGACACAAAAGGACAGGUCUACUGCAUGCACAAUACUACACUUUGUAAAGCCUUCGCUAAAGUGUGACUGAAAAUGAGACUGAAAGGCCACAAGAUUAGAGUAAUCAUACAUGUUAAGUAAAACACACCGAACGUCUGGGCACAAAUAAUUCACUGCUGUUGUUCGGUAAAUACACACACACAAGCACAGAACAACAGUAAGAUCUGUCCUUAAUACACCCUCACCGUCCAUGCAACUGCAUACACCCAAAAAUGUUGGCACGCAUUGCAUCAGUUGUAAACCAAAAUUCGCUUUUGCAAGUUUUACCAGAAAGUGCCAUUCCAAAGGAGAAGGAGCUUGAGAAAUAAUCACAAUUGAGUGUGGUGGUAAUUUGCAUUUUACCAUACAAUACAACAAUCUAAGAUACACAGCGGCAUCUUGAAGUUGGCAGGAAGAGCACAUCCAUUAAGAUGGACAACGAAUGCGAAGUCCUUACUUCACUCCAGAGAUUGUGAAUGGACUAACAAAAUUCAUAACAGGUAAAAACAAGCCGUCGCACCUAUAAUUAAACAACCCCAAACUCUUGUUUCUGGCAACUAAUACAUCACAAGGAUACUUUGUUAAGAAAGUGCUAAUUAGCCAAUUAUAACCAGAAAAAGACAAUAAUCUUGAUAAAUUAAAGACAAGAACGACAUAUCUGGCUAAGCAAGUUUCAUUUCACAAUCUACAGUGUCAUUAAAAUUCCACCCCCCACAACUAGCACAAUCAUAAGAUCAGGCUUCCAGUAAGUCAGAACCACGCAUCAAUUUACCCAGUUAAGAAGCAGAAUCGUUUACGUUUAUCGUUAAAGAAAAAGAAUAUAAUACUCUCUCCGUCCUAUUGAAAUGGGACGGCGCCAUAUUUUUCUUUAGAAAGUUUUAAAAUGUUUGUUAUCCUACUAAAGUUUAGAGCCAAAGUUACUUUAAUCUCUUUUUCUAAUAUUAUCCCACUUUAAUAUGCAUUGCAUACCUACUAAAUUCAGAUUUGGAGGACGAUUUUGAAAACAAAUCCACUAACCUCGCCAUCAAGGUGCAUGCGACAAACAAUUUAAUUUGGGUGGAGGGAGAACUAGUUAAGCCAAAAAAAAAAAAAAAAGCUAAAAACGUGAAGUGAAACGAAGAAUCUUACAAUUACAAUCCUUUCUGGGAGAUGGCGGGCCGGAGCUGUGACAAAGAAUCGCCCGUCCCAGCAUAGACAAGCUUGAAACCAACCCAACUGCAUAAAAGACCAUCACCAAUCCGAUCACCCAAGGCAUCAAAAGGAACCCAAUAAAGAAAGUCACCGAUCCACACAGCAUCAGCGCCAGAGAUAUCCCCAAAAGCAAAGAAGCAAACCCGGCCGGUGUAAUCUGUUGCAUACCCGUCUGCCUUCUCCUCACCGCCAACCCAGUUGCAGACGAGGAAGAUUCAUCCGACGGGACACUGUCAGACUCGUCGGAAAACUCAAUCGGAGUCGGUGGAGAUCGUAAAAUGUUCAUAAUCAUAGCUGACAGCUCGUAAAACACCUUCGACUGCUGAUCUUGUUGUCUCCCCAUCGUGUUUCUUCAAUUUCCUUUUACAAAUAUAUUUUUGAAAAAUUCGUAAAAUGCCAAUUCCAACCCGGAACUAUAAGAAAAGGAAAAGCUUGAUUCCUGGAGCGAUCAAAUGGAAAAGAAGCCUCAAAAAUUCAAUUUGUGGAAAUCGAGGCGAAUGGAUAAAGUUUUGACUGGGGAUUUUAGUUACGUUUAUCCGUUUAAUGGAUUUUAAACGUUACCAUGGUUUAAACCUUAUCGGAGAAUGGUGCUUCCGUAAUGUUAAAUACUACUACUGCUAAAUUAGUAGUAAUUACUAGUACUGAAUUUUAUAUCAUGUUAGACUUAAAAAAGAGCUUUCAGAGGGACAAAAACUGCAAAUGGCACAAAGGAAUUUUAUCGUGUUAGACUUGAGACAACAAAGGGGUUUUUUUUUUUUUGGAAGGAAUGUGUGCUGUUUCAAUGCCGUAUGGUAGUGGAAUGGGCUGCUAGUCCAGUAUAUAUCUACAUACGGAUAAUUGAGGAAAUUUUAUGCAUUUGUGUUUAUUCUACUUUGCAACCCUAAAGUUCUUUUAUUGUAAAUUUGCAUCAGAGUUUCAUUUGGAUGUCUCUUCUCCCGUAAAAAUUUGUACUGCAAUUUGCCCUCUUUUUUUUUUUUUUGGGUAAGAAAGACUACGUUCAAAAUAACAUUUAACACAGGUUUACAAACCAAAUUUUGCCCUCAUUGUUAGUGAGUCGAGAGUCGGGAGUUAUCGUAUGAGUAGGAUGUCAAACUAGUAUCUUCUAUUUGAGAAACGCCAAAUUAUUGAAAUGCGAUAGUUAAUCUAUCAUGUAAAGUUAAUUCAAAUACGGAUACAAUAUGGAAUGGUCAUGUCUGUUGUUAGAAUUAAUCGCUCAAAUUAUGACAUAAAACAUCUUUAAAUUUGAGAGGAUUGAUACAUUUUGAUAAAGAAAAGUUUUAAAGUAUGGUUGUCAAUAAUCAUAUAAUAAUUUAUCCAUAAAUCUUUAUUCCACUAGUUUUAUCCUUGUUACGUAUAUUUUAACGUUAUACUAGUAUUAGCCGAGCUCAAAUUCACUUAGAAAUGGCUUUUUGGUGUUUAAACUCUAAUUGGGAUGCACAUCAUUUAACCUAGAUUGUCAAGUCUUAGGUACAAAGUAAAAUAUGUCAAGCUUGAAGGGUGCAAAUGAAAAGAAUCCCUUUUUUGAACGAUUGCAUUAAAACGAUGUCGCGUGUCCGAGAAAAUAGCUAGAGGUGCUUUAUCAGGAAGGGAUGUAGUUGAGUGUGGGAGAAGAUAAAAGGAUCCUGUUGGAUCGGUGCAACGAGGUAAGGGUGACACGUCACGUUCUAUGAGCGCUUAAUGUACACGCGCAAUUAUUGGAGUUGUUGAUCUAUUCUGAUUGAUGCGGAGUAUCUGAUUCGAGGUUGCAUGACGUGGGGGCUCUAUCUUCUUAAGACUGCGAAGGCCAGUCCACACGUUGUUUGAGUGCAGAGGUGGAGGCGCGUGCAGGGGAUUGUUGACGGUGGACUAACGUGGCACGGCGGGCGUUGGUUGGAAUGGAAUGGUUUAGCAGUGGAGUUGACAACCACGUGCCCCUGAGUUUGGCUUUUUAUUAAAAUUUUUGCUGACUGAAUUGGUAUAUCACCUUCAUGUUAUCCAGAAUGAACGUCAAAAAGAACCAUCAGUCAAAAAGCCCUUAAGGUUUGGUUGUCACAUAAAAAUAUUGAUUUGCUUUAAAAAAUUCAGACAAAUACGUAGUGUACUCGUUUGAUUCGAUAGUGAUUCAGUCCCCUUCGAAUUAUCCCUGAAUCUCUUAGAUCCUCCCCUCCCCUAAUAUAAGAUAGACUAAGAUAUAUUACAGUUAUCGUCUCAGAAAAAAAAAAAGAAUAAAGGUCAAAAAGAAGAGAAGGAACAGAUAGCUUUUUAAUUUUCUUUCCCAAUUUUUUUAAAAAUUUUUUUUACCGCUGCUGCUGCUGCUAUCAUAACCAUAUAAGAGUUGAGCAAGUCUUCACAUAGGAUAAGCCAACAGCAUCUUGGACUGGCUGGCUGGUCAUCACUAACACUUUCAAAUGUUUGUGGGGGUAAAAAAAUAAGGGCACAAUUCUUAUCUUUCAUUGUAUACUUAUCACUUAAUUAUGAUUGUUAUAUUUAAAUGAAUUUUUUAGAUAAAAUUUCGUCAACGCUCUAAAUUAGACUAGAAUAAAUUAUAAAAAUAUUAACAUUACGAUUAAAAAAAAAAAGGCAGAGAAAAACUUCACAUGGGAUAGGGUGUAACAUACUCUAUGUGGCUAGACGUAGUAGCUUAGGGACUCCCAUCACAAUCCCGUCGACUGACCCCAAGGGUAGCAUCACCAAAGCCAGAGGAGGAUGGCUUGAUAUUUCCAGAGGAGGAUGGUUUGAUAUUUUCUGGCCUGAUUGCAUGCUCUUUUUUUAUUUUUAUUUUUUUGAAGGAAAUGAUUGCACACUCUUACAAAAGCCUCAGCAACAAAUAGCUCAUCAGUAAUCCGCACAUUUAUCAUCAUCUCAUAUCCAAGUCUUUAUCGCAUACGUAUGCAUGCAUGAAUUAUGGAGGUGGGGCUUUUGUUCCCUCGGCCCCUUCUUAAUCACCUGCCAUGACCUAGACUUGUUUGCAGUCCAUAGAAAAUAGAUUAGCGCCCAUGGCUCUGCUGCAACCACUCUUGCUGGCUAUCACCAAUAGGGAUGUAAUCGAGCCAAGUCAAGCUCGAGUAUUGCUAUACUCGAGCUCGACUCGACUCAUAUAUACCUAAGCUCGAGCUCGACUCGAGCUCGAUCGAGUACAAAAAAUCGAUACUUGAAUAUUGACUCGAGGAACUCGCUUUAAACUCGAGACUUGAUUCGAUAAGACUCGACCUUUAGUCAAGUCUUAUCAAGUCGAGCCUAAUAAAGCUUUUUGACUCGACUCGACUCGACCAAUCUUCCCUUUUUUAGACAUUUUUUCUUUUUAGGUCUUUUUACAAUUAUGUUAUUACUUUUUUGCCAUUAUGAAAUUUUAUUAUAAAGAAAAGUUUAUUGUAAAUUCUGUAAAACUUAUACCCAUAAUGGUCAAUUUAUAAUUAUAAUACAUAUAUAUUAUUUAAAUUAUAAAUAUAUUAUUUAAAUACCUCUGGCUCGACGAGUAGCUUGACAAGUCUCGAGCCUCAAACUAUUGGCUCGAAACUCGACUCGAAUGACAAUCGAGUAGCUCGAGACUCGGUUGACCGAGCUACUCGCGAGCUACUCGAUUAUGACUCGGCUCGCUUACAUCCCUAAUCACCAAGUACUAAUUACCAACACUUUAGAUAGAAAGCCACCGAACCAGCAAACCCCAGUGACCACUUAGAAUUAGUACCGACUGUAAAAUGUUUACCGAGCUGGACAAUUACGGCUGAGGUUUAGUGUAAUUGUGUUCAAAUGUUUGGUGAUCUUUUAGACAGGAAAGACGGAUGCAGGAAAGGAAGCAUAAAUUAAAACGAAUUUUAUACGAUCGAGUAACAAAUUAAUAGUUGCAUAAUCAACCAACACGAGCAUAGGUAUCAGCAGUAAUCUGGUGGUUUCAGCUUUCUCUCCCAUUUUAAGGCGCAUACCAUAUUAUUUUGUUCCAUCUUAAAUUCAUUUUCGGUUUUAGUUUAGCUGUAACAUCUUAUUUUUCGGCUAAUCCCAAGUUAACCACAAACCAAAGUCGAAUAAAAAAACUUUUGAAACCAUGCAUGAACCCUUUACUUUGUGGUGUUCUCACUUUAUUUGAUCGCGACACAUGAUGUCGGCAGUUUCAGCCAAAAUGAUCAUAGUUGGUUGCUAAGUCGCUCUCCGUAGAAUCUUCAACGGGGAAUUGAAUGGACGGUUUUGGAUACAAAAUUAUUUCAAAUUCUUGGUGUGCUUAAAUUGACUUUAUUCGUAAAAAAUUAUUUUCUUGCACUACAAAUAAGUUAUUUAAUUACCUUUUUAAUUUUUUAACUAUUUUUUAUCACACAUGCGUUAUAUCAUAAAAAAAAAAGUAUUAUCAUAAUUAUUUUAAAUAAUAUUUUAAAUAAAAUUCCAGAAUUUCCUGUCCUGUUUGUGUAUUUUACCCACAGUCAAGCCUUUUAUGCUGUUCCAAGUUACUUCCACGGUUUUCAAAGUCAAGAACUGAAGUGGGCAUGUCUCGGGAUGUUUUCUAAGUUGUUCUUGUCGUGACAAAGACCUCCUUAAAAAUUGAGUCGGUUUAUUUAUCAUUUUAUCUCAUACUUCCUUACUGCUUACGCCAAUUUUCAUCUUACUCAGACUUGUUGCUUGAUGACUUUUCUCACCAAAAAGAAGAGGGAAAAAAAAAAAAAACUUGUUAAUGGAGCGAGACAAGAUUAACAGGGUGGGAAUAAAGUACACGUGAAGAAGAAGAAGAAGAAGAAAUUAAGAAGAGUUGUUACCUACUACGACGAAAUCAAUAUACACUGAAAUGCUCUCUAAUUUUUAUUUUUUGUUUUUCGAGCAGAAUGCUCUUAAAGUUUAGUCAUCCCUUUUUAUGUAUUGCCUUUUCUCAUCCGUGAAUUUGAAAGUUAGCAAGCACUUGAGUAGAUCCGAUAUAUGUAAAUUAUGUGGUCACACCAUUUCAUCAACUCACGAACUCAAGGUGUAACAAAAUUUAGAUCACAUGAUAUAAUAUCCGGUUCACCUAAAUUUUUGAAGGUUAACUUGUUAUUGACUAGAGAUUCAAGGGAUAGCUUUAGGGGGCUUUCUUGAGGUUUCUGACACCUCAGCCCCGAUGAAAUGAUCGAAUUAGCCUUAAAGCUUACAAGAUAUCUUAUGUGGGCUUAAUGAAUUAGACCACUAGUUAAUCGAAUUAAUGGAAAUAAACACAAUUUAGAACUGCAAAAAAAAAAAAUCUAACUUGCCAUGAGAUUUGUGAUAAUGUCACUUAGCACUUUUUAAUUUUGAAAAAUAUCACUUGAUUUCCCUAUUUUUAACAUUUUAUAAUAUUACCAACCAAUUUCAAAAUAUAUUGUUAACAAAAUUAUUGGUGGUUAGAGAAUAUAUUUUCAUUCCAAUAUUGUUAGUUUCUUGUAAAGCAUUUUAGAUUCAUAACAAAUCUAGUUUAUCUAUUAUUUUUUGAAAAUUUAGCCUAUAUGAAUUUUUAAUUAGGAAUUACAAGGUGUUAAAAAGAUUGAUAUACCAAUUGAUAAUUUUCCCACCAAUUUAAUUAGCCUAUACAAGAAAUAUAAUAAAAAUUUGAUAUUCUAAAUAAUUAGAAAACCAUAAAAAUUAUCCGAGAAUUUUACAAUGAAGAAAAUAAAAUUUUGUGUGCUAAAAACACCUCAAAUAAGUUUCUAAAUAUAUAGUUAAGAGAGUACAUAUGUUUCAAGUUUUCAAGCCAUAGAUUUAGACAACACCUAAAUCCCUAAAUUCAUCCACAAGCAAUUUUUGAAUAAAAAAAAUAAUUUUUGUCUUUAACAAAAUCUCAAAUGAGUUUGUAAACAUAAACCUUUUGCCUUUUGUCCUUUUUUCUCCUAGUUUUCAAGCCAUCAAUUUAAACACAAAAUUUUGCAAUUUUUAAAAAAUUCUACAAAUUUUAAAAAACUCAUGAAAUUGAUCGAAAACAUUUCACAAUAAAGAAAUGAUCUUUUCUUUUGGGCUGAAAAGACUUUGAAUACAUUCUUAAAACUUUUUUUUUAAUGCUAAAAUACCUAUUGUUAUAUUGUGUCCACUAAAAUUACACAUUUGUAUAGUUUGUCUUUAUUUUCAAUAUCUUAUUACAUGCUUUUAAUUUUGAUAAAAAAAAAGAAGAUUAAAACAGCAAAGGGCACUUGUGAAAUGAAAACAUCUUGGCUAUCUAAAAAUGAGUUUUUAAAUUAUUUUAAAAUAGGUUGACAAUGUGAUAAAAAGUUAAAAGUAGGGAAGGCAAACACAUUUCCCAACCUACCUUUUUAUAUUCCCAAUUAACUUUUUAUCUCACAUACAUCACAUCACAAAAAGUGCUACAGUAAUUAUUCCAAAUAAUAUUUCAAAUAAUACACUAUCCAAACAAACCUAUAGUUUGUUUUCUGAGUUGGAGACGUUUGGAACCCAAAAUGGAGACCCGAAAAUGGAACAUUUUAUUACGUACCAUAGCGCUUCGCUCAUCGGGAUACAUAAACAGUACUAGGUUUGUUUGGAUGGUGAAUUAUUAGAGAUAUUUUUAUUGUGGUAUUUUUUAUGAUGUGAUGUAUGUGAGAUAAAAAGGUAAUUGAAAGGAUAAAAAUAUGUGUUGGAUUGCGCUUCACUCAAAUACUGCUAGUGUCAUGAUUUGUAACAAGUCAUCCACGAUUGCACACAGGUGGAAGUAGAGUUGUGGAGUAGCAUAUGGGAAAGCUGCGUUAUAGCUUAUAGGUUGUGGAAUUUGAUAGGACAUCACUCCUGCAAGCAAAAGCGCUGUCUAAGUAUGAACCACAAAUUUAGCGGUGCAGCAGCUGCGUUUACUGAGCCAAUCACAAGCACAAACAAAAGCAGGGGGGUUGAUUACUCUCGUGCAGGGUACCGGAUACAGAUGCCACCUGUCCCUCUCUCUUUGCUUGUUUGUGGACAGUCAGUCGGGUAAGAAUUAUCGUUUGGAAUGCUAUUUUUAAGAAUUUCUGUAGAAAAAUAUAUUAUAUUAAUUUGGCAUAUAUAAAAUAAAAAUAAUUAAAAGCGUAAAAGUUUUCCAUCAGAAAAAUAAUCUCUAAGUAUGUGUCUGUGUAAGUUGGGGACAUGACUUGACUUGACCCGCAAUUAUUACCGAACUCCAAAUGAUUUAGGAUUCAUUUGAAUUAACUAUUUUUUUUUGAUAUUUUUGAACUAUUUUACUGUAAUAAUACAUAUAAAAAACUUUUUAACAUAAAUAUUUUUAUGAUAUUUUUUGAUGUGCUUUUGAAAUAUUUUUAAAACUUACAAAUUUUGUGAUUUUUUUUAAAAAUUACCACUACUAUCCCCUCAUUUCUUCCUCCUCAUCCCAUUUUUUCUUCCCUUUCCCCGCCAUUCCUCACAGCUCCUUUCUCCUCCAGAAUCUGGUUGAGAUCAGAUCGAGAUCUCUGAUCACGACAUCUAGGCCAAAUCAUAGUCUAUGGUCGAGGCUAGAUUUGGGAAGGAAGUAGAGGGGUGGGACGUGGUGAGAAAGAGGAGGGGAAGGUAGGAGGGGAGGAGGAAGAGUGAGGGAAAGGAAAUAGGAGAAAAGAGGGGAUGGUGGCGAUGGUUAGGGAUGCAAACGAGGCGAACUCGAGUCGAGCUUUGGCUAAUCGAGUCGAGCUCGAGUUAAUUUUGUGAAAUUCGAACUCGAGCUCGAGGUCGACGAGUUCAAAAUAUCAAGCUUGAGCUCGAGCUUAAAAAAUAAAAAAAAAAAAUUUAUUAUUUUAUUUUUAAAAAAUAAAAAAUAUUUUUUUUAAAAAAAAUGAAUAAAACAAUAAUUUUUUUAACAAAUAAUAAAAUAUUAGGGAUAUAUAUGUAAUUUUACUAUUAAAAUAAAAAAUAAAAAAUAAAUAUAUAAUUGAGCUCGCGAGCCAACGAGUUUAAUGUUUUUGAACUCGAGCUCGAGCUCGAGAUCGACUUAAUUAGCUCGAACUCGAUUCGAGCUCGAUAUUGACGGAUUCGAGUCGAGCUCGUAUUCGAGCCGCUCGCGAUCGACUCGCGAGCGGCUCGAUUCGCGAAACACCCCUAGCGAUGGUGAAUAGGGAUGGCGGUGGUGAGUGACAGUGAUAGACGGAAGAAGAAAAUAGUGUAAAUUUUAUUUUUUAUAUAUUUAGAGUUGUUUUUUAUAUAUAUUGUAUAGACAUAUUAUUAAAGUUAUUUUUGAUUGCAUAUUGGUAUAACAUUAUAUAUGAGAAACAUGUUUUUUAAAAAAUGAAAAUGGAGCCUUAAACUUUUGAUAACACCCAAAAAAAAAAAGAAAAAGAAAAAGAAAAAGGAAAACGAGCCGGCUGGUGCGCCUUCUGAUCUAUACGUCACUUCUUUCAUUUCCCAACACCUAAAACCUAAAAAAAAUUGCAGUAAAGGGUACGGGUAAACACACUCACGAGAAAAAGCUGAGGGUUAAACACUCACUAACUCUUUUUGGCCUCCAAAAAAGUUUGAAAGGUGACUCUGUGCUACGUUGUCCAAUGUCCACUGCCCAGCAAGCACAUUACACCUAUAUCCGUCCUCUCUUUCUUGAUUAUAGUCCCUUGUACACUGCUACUAUGAAUAUUAUUUAUUUUUAAAGUUAGUUUUUCUAAUGCUCGAGGUCAAACUCAAUCCACGGCUUUAGGCAGGCUCCUCGUAUUAUAAACUAGCAGCGCUGCUAUAAACUACUAGUCCAAAGAAAAGCGUAAAUGUGGCGCGCCACCACCAAGUCUAUGGAACAAUAAAGCAUCAAUGAUCAAUGGAGUCGAGAGGCAAAGGCAACCGGUUUUACCGGCCAAUGGCUGCUUCCUAUCUUUCUGCAGUCAAAUGGCAAUGGGCGGCCGGAGCGCUGUGGAACAUCCAACCUCUCUCUAUCCGUAUAUUUAUUAUAAUUUAAAAGCUGUAAGUUUGUUCCACUGCCGCCAUUUGUAACCGACUCUAUCCUUUAUUUGGACGCUGCCGAUCGGCUUCAUGUAUGCGUCUAACGUAGUAUUUUCCAUUCCUACUCCUUUUCCUUUUUUUGCCUUUUUUUUCUGCGUGAAUUUUCAUCCAUUUCUGUAUUUUCGCUAAUGUUGUAGCAUUAUAAUCCCAUCCAAAAAAAAAAAACGCAAGUAUAUACACUGCAUAGACUUCUUCUUUUUUUUUUUUUUUUAACUUUUCUACCAACCUUGGAUGAUACACUUCUGAUUUCAAUUCUUUUAAGAUACUUGCAAGGUUAUAUAUUUGCCGGGUGGUCGCCGCUUCCUCUUGUUGCCUCUGUGGCCAUCCCCAGCGGUGAGGCGGAGUAAGGAACGAUGCUCGACAAUGCAAGAUAUAGGGAGAAGCAAGAUAAUGAUCGUUAUUAUUUUUUUCCUUUUGUUGGCUAAGAAUAAAUAUGAUUUUACGACUUUGUCAGCAUUCUUGCUCAUACAAAUUUUCUUUCAAGCAUGCCAAACCCCCCCCCCCCCCCCUCCCCCCAAAAACACCAACCAAAAAAACAAAGCCCUCAUUUUGUUAGUGUCCGUGGCAUUAAGUUGCAAAUCCUCUGUUGCCAUAGAAUGGCUACGCUGCCUAUUCUCAAGUCUUCCGUUUCCGGAUUCGACUUGAAGAGGCUCAAGUACCUGGCUCGGCCGAAGUGGCCCUAGUCACGGUCAUCAACCAAAUUCACCAUGCACCAUAUUUUAGUCUUUCCUUUUCUUCCUGUCUUUUCGCCAAAUCAGAGUGUCUCCUUUGUGUCAAUGAUUUGCUAAAUCUCAAGAUAUAUGUUCUUCGUUGUUCCACAGCUCAUAUAACCUGCAUAUGAUUCAGAUUCUUUCCUUUCUGGGACGUUUACCUCUGAUUCCUGUUGUACCACAUAACUGAAUAUGUUUUCUGAGGUUCGAAUUGCAUAGCUGGCAUUACAUGGUCCACCGAAAUUAUGAAGAUCGGUCCCUCCAAUGAUUUAGUUUCCUGUCUAGCAUCCCAUGUUCCUCCAUCCUAAACCAUUAUGAAUUCCAUUCUUUUUCUGAUAUGAUCACUCUCCCAUUCCCAUAACUCCUGAUGCAUGAAAUAUAUAUAUAUGUAUAUAUAUAUUUUUUGGGUUUUUUUUCCUUGUGUUGGGGGGGGGGGGUUGUGGUUCGGUUAAAGCCGGUUUCCAGCUUGCUUGGUCCUUUCAACAGAACCCAAUACUUCUAUCUUCUUCAGUCCUUCCUCGACUGAACUCAGUUCAAAAGACCGCAAGAGUACUUAUGUGUAUAUUAUUUAUUAGGCUGCACUUGAGUAGCAGGGCAAGCACAUUACAAUUGUCUCGUAUGGACAAUGCUGCCAUAACAAAUUAGAAAAACGAUUAGAAAAAGAAAUGGUCACCCCAUUUCCUUUUACCUUCUGCUAGAACUGGUUUCUCAAUAACCAGCUUCGUUCCUUGUAUUGGGAGUCGUCACUUGUUAGUGAUAGUCUGAUACUGAGCAUAGUGUUGUGCAAGAACGUACUGGCAAUGUAAUUACAUUACCAAAUUUGUCUGUAUGCCAUUGAGGUGGUACAAGCAGUUUUAAGUAUUUUUUAGUUAGAAUACUCACCAAUGACCAACUUGCAGGCAACCUGCUUUGCUUUAAGAUUCAUUCUCUUUUGCUUAAUCAGAAACCUGGGUUAGCAUGUGACAGAACAAUGCAAGUGGAGAACGUACCCCACUUCAAUCUCAUGUUAUGAAGCGGAGUGAUGUCAGACGCAAAACCAAGUUAUAAAAAGUUGCUUAUGAAGAGUUGUAUAGUAGGAUCACAUUGCCUUAACGGGUAUAUUUUCCCUUGGAGCACUCAGAAAGGCACAAACUGGCUUGUCUCACUAUCUUCUACUCUUAAAGUAGUUCAAGCAUAGCCUGUCGCUGCCCAGAAAUCAUUCCAACGUGUGUAAGGUCCCCAAAUUCAAGGAUCAAGUCAUUCCUCUUCUCAUUGGAUGUACCUGCAGCUACCUGUAAGUUGUUUGCAAUUUGCAAAUAAAGUCAUGAGUAAAUGUCUAUAAGAGCCAUUUCUUUAUAGUUUUAACAAGAAAAUCUGUUACCUUAUUUUGCAGAAGCUUGUUUUCUUCCCUCAGCAUCUUUUCCUGCAGGUAGAGAUGUGGAGGUAAGUAGGUUGACUGAUUUUUAAUAUGCUAUUAUAAUUGCAGUCAACUGUCUGUGUCCUUGAGUCCUCCACAAAUUCCGUUGUGAUGAAACUAGGCUAUAAUGGAUAAAUUGAUUCAAGCUACUUAUAUAGUUAUUGUUGCAAGUCCACAGAACAUUCAAAUGCUAGUACUAUAUAUAGUUGUAGAGAAGAAUUUCAGUGUUGCAAGAACUUUAUUUCUAAGUCUAAUCAUACAUCAGAAGAUGCGUAGCAGAUAUAUCUGUUAGGAACCUCUAUAUCUAAAUACACUAUAAAUAUAAUAUCAACCGCAGAUCCAGCCCAGUGGAAAAUUUUCCUUGACAUGAUGUUGAUUGACAUAUAACUGUAUCGGAGAAAGAUAAUCUUUCUCGUUUCAUAGAAUUUGAUGAGGAUUGAGAAUAUGCUAUCUACUUUUGAGGGCAUAUAUUCUUCAUACACAAAUUUCAGUAGUAAAAAUGGAAAUAGGAAAAAUGUUUCUAAAAAAGUGUAAGGCUGCAGAUUGCUUUGACAUACCACUUCACUUAGACUGGUUAUUGAUUCCAUCAGUAAUCGUGUCUGCACGAAAAUAUCACAUGAGGUAAAGUAAUAAGAAACCCGAAAUCAUGAAAACCAGAAGUUGUUAAGAAACAAAAGAUGAGAGUUACGGAAUCAACAGAAGUGUGCUUGAAUAGGGGAGGAACAUUGAAAAUUUGUCAGUCUCCUCCCAAAUGAUACAUGGCUUAUUCAUCCUCUUGCAGAACUUUCACCAUCUUACUUUUCUGGGCCUCUUUCUUUUUCCCGCUCUCUGUUAGUUGUUUGUCUGCUUCUCAUGUAUGUUAUAGUUACACCAUUAUAUUCAAAAGUCUGAUCUCAUUUUAGAUAACUAGUUUGUUAAUUGUACAGUAAAGAUAGAGGCAAGCUGAUUAACAAUUCAUGCACUCGAAGAUUCCAAUCUACUGAUCUCAGGAAAGAUGCAAGACAUGGUACUGUACCCAGAUAGAGAAAAUUGCUUUGUGGGCCUAAUUUUUGGAAACAACAAUAACCUUAUAACUCUCAUCAACCCACACUUGUCCAACCAUCUACACAUUAGCAUGUCUAGUAAACCAGUUUAGGAAUAUUAACCUUGAUGUAGCUGUCAUUCUAGCUCUUUUCGCGCCAUAACUAUCAUUAGUGUCACAACAAAUAUGGAACAAAGUACAUUAUUUUACUAUGAUGCGAAGAACCUUUUAUUUCUUAUUUGGUCAUUUACCUUUUUAAGGAUAAGGAUGUCCCAAGACACCUUUAUUCUACUAAAAGUCAAAGAAGAAAUCUUUCUGCUAUUAAAGUCAAAGAUAGUAAUUACCACAUCUCAUAGUGACUUUUUCUAGUUAUGCAGGCUUAAUCUCGAAAUACUUCAAUGUGCUAAAUACAAUUAUACAAAGUAGCCAUGUUAACUAAUCAUAAAAAUUAGAGACACGGAUCUAUGAAAUCCUUUUACUGAAACUAUGUAACAGUGGAAGUGGAAACACAGAUAUGAAAUCCUUUUACUGAAAAUAUCUGACAGUCGAAGUGGCAACACCAAUACAAAGAAUUAUUCUCUCUACUGUCAGAUUGCAGAUUUGCACGAGUUCUUUCAACACAUAGCUUACACAGUUACACCUAUUUUGAGAAAACUGGAGAAAAACAUACCUUCCUAGAUCUUGUUUGAAUGAGUGCAUCUUCAAGUUGUUCUUCCAAUUGCACUAGUUCACUCAGGUUAAGGUGGUCAACAUCUGGCUCCUCUAGAUCCCUGUUGGAAAACAGAGACAACAUUAGAUUCUAUAGUUGUCGAAGGAGAUGAGGUAUUAUGUCAGUGCCUUUCAACUUUUUCCAGCAGCUUUCUGAUUGUCACGACAUUUCUGCCUUCAGGGUUACGUUUCUGAAACAGAAAUGGAAAUACUAGUAAAUCAACUAGCAUAAAAAUAUGUCCACCCAAGCAGAAACUAGACUAUUUGGUAACACAAAGAUGGAAUUAUAUAAAGCAAUCAGCAUAUGAUCCGGAGGCUUCUACAUUCCAAAACAUUAUGCUAAAAACCACACUUAAGCUUGGCAAAUACUUAGACUCCUGAUUGACAUUAGUGAUUUAGUGGGCGGUUGAGUGAAACAAAUCCUUACAGCUUAUCUGUCCUACAAUUGUAGGUAAUAACUGAGAUAACUGCAAUGUAUGUUUAGUGCUUGUAAUUUCUUCUCCAAUGUUAUUAGGAGAUUUAGAUAGUGAAACAUGCUCUAUAAGCAGUUCAAUGCUGUUUUAGAUAGUGACAUAUGAGCCAUAAGCGGUUCAAUGCUAAAUCCAAGUAGUCGAAUGCUAAGAUGUCAUCAUUUCAUCACUUCCAAUAACUCCUUUUACUUGCUCUAACCUCAAUAAGCUACAAACUUACUGUUACCCUGCACCAGUGGUUGACAGGUCCAAAACAAGCCAACAUUAUGCUGCAAGUAUUUUAAGCUCCAUAAAGCACAUCACAAACUUACCUCUACGCCGCUAAUUCUUGCAGACCCGUCUUCUGCUUCUGCGUAGUUGCGAUAUCGUUGUAGGAUCUUGGCCAAACUGAAAAUAACAGCAACUUAGAUAUAGUAAUUGAAGUGUUAAGAGUGUAUAUGAGUUUAUAUGAGUAGCUGUUUCUGCUCCAAAGACAACGAAGAUACAUGACCGAGGUACAAUAGCAAGUGACUGAAGCCUAGUCCCUCAUUUAUAGAGAAAUGCUGUUUAGUAAUGCUCUAUGUUGGGAAAAAUAACUGUGCUUCUCCAAGUGACCUAUUCCAAUAUGCAAAUUAUAUCUUUUGUAGAAGGCAACAAGUACUCCAUCGGCACAAUCUUUAGUAAACAGAUAUCCACGGCUUAACAUGGAGUUGUUUAUUGUACCUAAUCUUAAAACGUCAAUGUGUUAUUUAUUUAUAUUGGAAUCAUGUAGGUCAUCCAAACUAACAUUUUAGUAUUCACUACUUAUUUUUUAAGAAUAUGUACUCAAUAUAGCAUUUGUCUUGAGUUUGAUGCAGGAGAAAGGACAGUUAUUUGUCUUACUACAUUCGCAAGAAAUAAGACAUUGUUGUGCAUAUAGCUUUUCUACUAGAGUAGCUAACCCAAAGAGUUCCUACAUUUGAAGAUUUUGUCUUCCCUUGAGCUUCUAUUUCAAAGACAAUUAGAUAGCCCUAUUCAGGAGCGCUACAGACCAAGCAAGCUAAGGAAGUUUAGUCUUAUUAGGUAUAUGCUAGCUCAAAAGAACCUUUGGAGAGGAAUAUUUAAGUAUGCAAAAAAAUACAGUAUUUUGAUGUUGGCAGAAGCUUAUGAAGGAUGAUGAUCUGGAUUUCUGAUAAAGAUUGGUUAGUGAGGAAUGACCAACAAAAACCUUGCAUACAGUUAUGUCUAACUCAGCUAAAAGAGGCAAUUCCAUUUAAACACAUCAACUAAACAUAAACCCAAAGUAGGAAGUUAUUUUAUUCUACAGUUAUGCCUAACCAAUACCCCAAUGUCCUCAACAUCUGUCUUGCUUAUCCUACUCCUGACUUCUGGAUUAUCUUUUUGAAGUCAAAAGGCAAGCUGCCCAGCUUUCUUCUGCAUAUUCCCCUAUUAGGCUACUGUCCCCAUUAGGGAUUUUCUCUUUGCUCUCUACAAACUAGGAACCCAUAAUAUUACUAUUUUGCCAAUGCAAUUUGUUAGAAGUUUGCAAAAUGGAUGAAAUAUGAGAAGAUGUGUGUAACAUUAAAUGACAGAUUCAAGAUAAAACGGUAUCAGCAUAUCCAAGAUGGAAAUAAGAAAACUCUACGGAAUUUAGUCAAGCAAAAGAAGAUCUUGUAGAUAGAUAAAAAUGAUGGGAUAGGUUGGUGUUGAUGAAAUCUGAUUUUGCAGGGUCAAAAAGCUCAAAUUACACUAUUAGAAAAUCUUCAGACUCCCCAAAGGAGCUCAAGGCCUAAUAUUUUGUAUUAUCAAAUUUUGAUGUCAUUUAGCUGAUUAUCAUCAAUACCCACAAGCGAAGCAACAAAAAGAGAAUUUUGAUUUUCACUCUGUAUCAUUUGCCUAAGCAUACUCCUAAUCUUGUGGAUUUUUCUCCUUGUUCUUAUCCUAGUACCCCAUUAAAUUGAGUUAUCAUUGUUUUUCACUUCAUCCUUCUUACAUCUCGUGAUAACACAUCCAAUAGUUAUUGUCCUAAACUAAGUUUCUUUACAUACUACACUUCUCUUUCUUUCUCAUAAGGACCAGGAAGAGAAUACCAGUAGAUUAGUAUUUACCAAUGUAUCUAUAAUACCAUAACAAGACACACAUAUUAUGUUUAACCUUUGACCUCAAGUUUCAUACACUAGCCUUAUUACUUUACUUGAGGUUAAUUAGACUCUGCGAAAAGUUGGUAAUCUCUUUAAAUUUUGAUUUUUGUGAUCUUCAUUGAUGUCUAGAGGAUUUUUUUAUAAUUCGGUUUAGCCAUUUUGUAAAUGAAUAUCAUGUAUUUGGUUUGCUUUAGAAAGGUUUCAAUCAAAUUAAGGUUUUUGAAAUAAAAAAUAGGGUGUGUUAUAAUGAAUUUUAACUUAUUCAUAUGCAAUCAAAACUUGAACUGACUACAUUUCCUAACAUAAAAUGUGUGUGUGUGUGUGUGUGUUUUUUUUAAUUUAUUUAUUUACGAAAGCUCAACUUCCAUUUAGUCCAUUUGAGAAGCUACACGCACAAUUUCCAAUCUUAGAGAUUCAAUAAUUAUUACAAUGUUAGUCAACAAUGAUGUUACAACUUAGUUUUAUACAAGUUAACGGAUAAUACUUUAGUCCCAGCAGAAGUUGUGUUCUAUGGUUCAUCUUAAGCUUCGUGCUGCUACUUGUGUGAACUUCAAAUUUAAUACUUUGGCUAAGAAGGGAAAAAGAAAUACUAAAUCUUCAUUUAGAGAUUAUCAGAUCCAAACUAAGUUGGCUCUCGGACAUGAAAAAAAUCUGAACAUUCUAGGAAACAAACUAGAAUUUCAACCAAAAAUCCUUAAAUAUUUUAGGGGAAAACAUUUAAUUUAACUAUCAUAAGGGUAUUUAUCUUAAAUAUUCUAAGGAAAAACAUUUAAUUUAACCAUCACAAGAGUAUUGGUUAAUGCAUUUUUGUACCCCAUACCAAGUGCAUAAAAUUAGCGUAUUUGUGCUUUCCCCCUUCCUCUUUCCCCUUCUUUGUAUCCCGAUUUUGCUUGAAGAGUAUGAAAGAAGUUAAUCCAAUAAGCUGAUUUGGUUUCAGCGACUUGUAGACUGUUAACAUCAAAAGAUUUUUAAUAAUUGAUGAUACUAAAAGUAUCUCAUUAGUUAAGUCAAAACUAAAAAAUUUGAAUUUGACCAUUAUUAUAUCUUCAAAUGCAAGGGAAAAUCAUCUAGGGAUAACAGAUCCUACAGAUUAUCCAAGCAUAAAUGUAUAUGAAGAUGUUCACUACAUGUUGGUGAAAUCCUCGUAGAUCUCUCCCAUUACAAUAUUGUAUCAAAAUGAUUGGACAGCUCAACUUCAUCAAAUAAAAACGUUAGUUGUAACUUAUAGAUAGUUUGAGAAAAGUUCUGAUGACCUUUACGGUUUAAUUAAUGAUGAUACUGAUAUUUUGCAUUCAAGAAGCUUUGAAGCAAUAACAAAUACCAUAUGAAGACCUUUCCAGCUAAGGUAGCUUCAUAAUUGGAAGUCUACAACUUAGUCAUGGUUCAAGUAUACUCCAAAUGUCAAAAGAUUAGCAAGUGCAACUGCACUACAACCUUCAUCAUGCUCAUCACCGUGACAUAAUCCAAUGCUGUCAAAGAAAUCUGAUAUGCCAAGUUGUAAGAAAAGAAUGAACAAGGACUAAGUCAAAUGCAUAGUCAACCACUCCAUCAAAGGCUUCCUUGGGCAACAACAUCAUUAACAAUACAAGAUUAAAUUUUAAUAGGUAGGCUCAAAUAUAAACAAUUGCAGGACAUAUAUAUCUUCAGGAUUCAUGAAUAAUGCAUUUCAAGAUAAUUGUAUACCAUAAGUAUUGCAAAAAAAAAAAUAAUGUGUAAAUUUAAUGCCUUGCAGAUAAUUUGGCAGUAAGCGUAGCUACUUAGUACAUUUUGUGCUGGUUAGUUCAUCUCAUUCCAACUACCAAAUGAAUAUUGUGCCAAGGCACAAAAAGAGGCAAGGUCAUAAUUUGAGGAGGAAAAAAACCAAAACUUAAGGUGUCAAAAUUGUGUUGUCUCUCACUACGUGAGCAUUGUUGAGAAAAGGAUAUUCUACAGCCAUUUGAGACCUAAACGUGUCUCUAAUAAGCAAACUCAUAAAAAAGUUUGUAUUUCUAGACAUUUUGUCAAUUUCAAACAUCAAGGUUGAUAAUAAAAAAUCACGGGUUUAUUUUAGCAUGUUAAAAAGGAAAAGCCCUAAGUUGGGGUUCUUGACUCAACAUAAAUUUUUAGUUAAUCAUGCACAUGGAAGCCUUAUGACAUGAGGAGCUCAUUAGUAGAUAUUGGAGAAUUUGAUGUCAAUUGUGCCUUGAAAUAGUGAGAAACAAUUAAGGAAGUGCAAAAACUUGAAAUAGUUAGAAGCAAUAGAGGAAGUGCAAAAACUUUGGAGAAUUUUGAUACUAUUGAUAUGAAUUUUCCUUGUUUUGAAGAAAAUUCUAGUCCAAGGAUGCGUUUGAUAUAAUUGAAAUCUGAAAUCUAAAAUCUGAAUAUGUCAAGUUAUUGAAUUGUUAAAUACUAAAUCUGAUAUAUUUGAGUGUAUAUCACAUUAAGUGAUAAGUGAAUAGUUUAUUACUUAUGUUGGAACAAGAUUUACAUAGAAAUUUCAGUGCCACUUAAUUAAAUCAAAUGUUCUUUUUUUGUCAUCAAUAUAUGUCUGAACAUGUUAAGAUCUGAACCCAUUAAAUUUAAACACUGAAUUGAAUUAUUAAACAGUGCUCAAGAUUCACAUGAUUUGGUUGAAAAAUUGUGAAUGGUGGUAGAUCUACUGUUUCUUUAGUUUAGAGCUAAUUGUAUCUAGUGAGAUUCACUUUCGAAUUGAGGUGGAAGAGGGAGUCACAAGUGCUACUGUAUCAAAAUUUGAUAGUUGAAUUGUGGUGCUCAAGCACUAGAAUAGGAGUUCUUGCAACCGCUAGGCAUGCUUAUAUGAAGAAAGUGAUUGAAACUCCAUAGCAAAGUCUAUUAAGGUUGAGGGUGCAAUUAACAAAAUGGUUACAAGUAUACACUUUUUUGUAAGUUCAUGUAAUACACUUAGUAGUUGAAGGCCCCUAGUAUAGAACCUUAAGUGGUCUCCAAUUUGCUCUAGUUUUGUUUUAUUCGAAAAAUGUGUUUAUUAGGACUAUCAAACAUAUAACAGAUUUUUUUCCGUAUAUUAAAAUUAGAACACAUCACAAUGAAUUAACUAAGAACUUGUUUAUUCUUUUUUUUUUUUUAUUUAAAUCUCUUCACACCAAUCCUCUUUUUUUUUUUUUGAAAACUUUUCAUGUGUUUGUUCCUCUUAAAAUAAUAUUAAUAUUAUGACUAGUCCUUGUGGAGAAAACCUUCCUUGAAAGGCCCCACUAGUUCUUAUAGCAUAAAUGUUGCUUCUUGUCAUGUUUGCAUCGAAUCAAAUCAAUGAGUUUGUUUGGACAAGCCAAAUUUGGUUUGUUUAAUUUGUUUUCACAAAUCUCAAUCACCUUUUUAUCUUCCCAAUCACCUUUUUAUCUCACAUACAUCACAUCACAAAAAGUGCUACAGUAAAUAUCUCAAAUAAAUCAUCCAAAUAAACUCUUAUCCAAACAAACUCAAUGUAUAAGUUGAGAGAUAUCUGAUGUAAUUUUUCAAAUGUCCUUGUAACCCAACCUUUAGUUAUAACAAAGCAUCAUAGAUUAACACAUUUAUAGGUUAGUUGAACUUAACCAAUACUAUCACAAAAUUUGCCUAAUUUUGAAUGAAAAUUCAAAUCUCAAGAUUUAAAGGGAUAUGCCACUUGAGCAAUGAUUUACCUACUUUAGUUCAAAGAAGCUUUUAGCACAAGUACUUAGAAAACAUCACACUUGAUUUAGAUGGACUUGUUGGGCUCGAACUUUUUGUUGAACCAGAGUUCCUUUUCUAAAAAGUCUGUCUUACAUCUACAGUAUAGGAUAAGAUAGAUUAGAUUAGGCCUCUUUAGGCACCCCUCCCUCUAGAAUAUGAUAGAUUAGGUUAUAAGAAUGUUAUCGUUGCAAAAAAAGAAAAAAAAAUAUAUCUGCAAGUACCUUUAGUCAAGCUCGGUCAAAACUUGACUCGAGCUUGAUCAACAUUGAGUUCGAGUCAAGUUUGAACCAACCAAGUCGAGCUCCAGCACAGAGAAAUUCAACUCGUUAGCUCACGAGCCGCUCAAUUUUAUAUAUAUAUAUAUAUAUAAUUUUUCAUUUUAAUAGUAAAAAUUAUAUAUAUAUUCCUAAUAUUUUAUUAUUUGUUAAGAAAAAUUUAUUAUUUUAUUUAUUUUUUAUAAAAUAAAAUAAUUAUUUUUAUUUUUUUAAGCUCUAGUAGGCUUGAACUCGAGUUCGACUCCACUCAAAUUUGUUGUCCAACUCACGCUUUAGCUUUACAAUUGAGAGUGUGUUGAGGUCGAAUUCGAGCUCGAGAUUGGUAAAAUGGAAUAGAGACUCGACUCGAUUAAGCCAAAAUCCGAUUUGAUUAGGAUAAAUCUCGACUCAAUUUGACUCUACUUAACUCGUUUGCAGUCCUAUUAAAAAUAAAGCAAAAACUUAACAUAGAAAAGAAAUAUUAGGCAAAUAAUCUAGACUUUCAUGCAUAAACAGCUUAGACGGCACAAACACAUCUAGUUGCAUUAAAUUUGGAUCUUUAUUUUAACUUUAGAUGUAGACAAAUGGUUGUGUUAACUACUUUUUGAUUGCAAUACCUGAAAUUAAAAAAUGAUGUUUAUAGAUAACUAUUUGAAUUGCUAUAUUUAUAUUCGCAUCUUCAAGUUUAAGAACCAACCUAAAUUGUUUUAUGAGUUGAUUUUCUUUCCCAAAAAAAAUAAUUUGACUAUACAAAUAUUACAAGACUUGUGUGAUUUUUUUUAUUGUCUUUAAACCUAUCCAAAAAAGUACGUUAAUACUCUAAUAAGGUAUUUAUACUUUUUUGCUUACCACUAAGGAAGUGGCCCUUAUGUAUGGCAUGAUUGUCCAAGAUACUUAUAUGCGAUCAAGGUGGUAUUCGUUCCCUCUACCUAUUAUUUCUCAAAUUUUUCCUUAUUUCCGAGAACCAUAAUAGACAUGUCAAGAAAAAACGUUAUUCUCUAUAAUAGUAGUUUUCAUUUGUUUGUAAGGGCACACAAUCAUGUUAUUCUCUAUCAUUAUUUUAUGCAUAUUCUUUGCUACAAAAUUAGAUGGAUAUGACUAUUUAACUCAUCAAAUAGCCAACGUAAUUAGGCAUCUUUUCUUCUACAAGUGAAAUGUAGCAUGUCAAAUAUUUUAUUAAUGAGCAAAUUGCGCAAAAUGUCACUAAACUAUUAAGUUGCAUCGAUUUUGAUCACUAAACUAAUUUGUUAGCCAAAAAUAUCACUGAACUAAUAAAUUUAUAACAUUUAGGUGAUUCUGUCUAAUAAUAUUGUUAAAGAGAGACGAAAACACACUUUUCAGGGGCAAUUUCAUCUGUACAGCUUUUUGUGUGUUAUAAAAGGAACAAUCGUGUGGAACUUCCAUAAAAAUGUCACCACCACCCUUUUGUGGCAAGGCGGAGGAGGAAGAAGAGGAGAAAGCUAUGACUGGUGGAAUUGUCUCGACUACCUACGUCCAAAACCACCUCGAAUGUAUCCCCUAUACUUAGAAUUAUACCCUCCAUUACCCCUCAUUGAACUCUUAGGUGAAAUUGUGGAGGCAGUGGCCGCUCAACCUAUCACCAUUGCUACCCCACCUAUCACCAUUGCAUAAGCCUUGUAUCCGUUUGCCGACUACGAUUCCUUGUAUGCAUAUUUGAACACAAUUAUCCUCAAAUAUUUGUCUACUUGUCCAAAGUAAGACCAAUUAAUCAGUCCAGCAACUAACUUCAAAUUCUUAAGUGAAUAAAUCAAUAUCAACUUCUAGUCACAAAAGUCCCCUGCCAGAAAGGUGGAAAGCUUUAAUCUUUAACUAUCCCUUGAAGUCAAACUUGAAGAUCAAGUUUAGAGAGUCAAAGAAUCAAGUUUGAGCUAAAUAGAUCCGGUAGACUGGGGAAUCAACAAGAGUUUAAUGCAGUAGUAGCAGCCACUACCCACUAUUCCUAUAAUAAAAAACAACCUCAAAUCAAAGCUAUCGCCAAUAAGGCUAACAAAAUACAUCCCAAUAGAGUAGACCAACAAGAAUGAAAGAUCCAACUCCCCCAAAUGGUGGGUUCCAUGUCGGCCAUUAAGCGGAGCCCAACCAGUGGCAUUUCCACUUGGGUUUAGGCUAGAUUGAAAUGGGUAGGAGUUAAAUUCCGCAGCCGCAGUGUGGAUUGUGGUGUUUGCAGUUUGGACUUCAAGGCCAAGUAUGCAUUUGACAAUACUUGGAGGUUUACAGGAGGUGUGGAAGGAAGACUAGGUGGUGAAGGUGAGAGAGGACUAGAAAUUGGUGGAAAGUUAGGGUCCUAUAUGGGGUUUGAGGUUAGGGAAGAAGGUAAAUCCCGAUGACCAUCGUGGUGGUGGAUCUAAGGUUUUAAGUUGUAUCAUCAUUUGAAAUUGAGAAAAUUUGGUCUAAGUUUGUCAAUUAAAAGUUCCACCCACCAUUGUUUCUUCUAUAGCACACAAAAAGCUAUGUAGAAGAAAUUGCCCCUAAAAAGUUUGUUUCCGUCUUUCUUAAUGGAAUAUUUAGACAGAAUAACUUAAAUGUCGCAAAUUUACUAGUUCAAUAACAUUUUUUGCUAACAAAUUAGUUUAGAGAUCAAAAGCGGUACAACCUAAUAGUUUGGUGACAUUUCGCCAAUGUGCUCUUUAUUAAUUGAAAUAUACAUAGGAUAUGUAUAAUGUAAGAUAUAGGUAUGAAUAAUUCAAUCCUUAUUAGCAUAUGAACAUCUAUCUCUUGAAAUUGAAAAGCCAAAUACAAUAAUUUGGUUCAAUACAAGUGGGAUUAUAACGUGACUCCAACUAUAAAAAACAAUAGAAUACUAUAUCCUAGUUCCUAGUUUGCAAUAGCAUUUUGAUUAUUUGAUUGAAGAUUUCAAACAAAAACAAUAACAAAAGAAAAGCACUAGAGACAUCGUCUUCAAUUUCAAUGACAUUUUUGUGUUUUUGGUCUUUAAACCUUUGUUGUACAAUCGAUUGCAUAUGGUAAAAGUUUAUAAGAACCCAAUGGAAACAUACCAUUUCCUGAUCUUUCAACAAAUAAAAUAUCCUUUUGUGCAUGGCAAAUUCAACCACUUGUAAUAAGAUUUCAAGAUUCCAUUCAUAAAUUUAGGGUGAUUGACUUUGAUCUAAAGUUUUCAUGAUGAUGAUUUUGAACUUCCUCUUUUGCCUUCAUAAAGACAACUAAUCAAAUUUAAGCGUUACUAAGGCAAUGCAAAGAAGUAUAAGAUCUCUUUUAGGAAGUUUGGAAAGGCUAAUCCAAUGCAAAAUAAGUGCAUUUUUUGGUCUCCCUAAGACAAAGGGUAAAGAAUUCUCAAGGGAAGUGUGCUAUGAGAAAACAAAAGAAUAAAAAUGCGGGUUCCCAUUUACCCUUCAAUGGCUUUAUCUCUAGAGAAGUGGAAGGUUCCUUUCCCAAGUUUUCUUGGUCAUUGAUAUGACUUGUUCUUCAUAAAGCUGAUCUAGUUCUGUGAAUGCUUGCCUCUACUAGAUGUGUGGAUUUAACUUUUUCCAUAAGAUAGUUCAAAAAGUCAUUUCAAGCUAAGUUGGCUAGUGAAAAAAUUCACCUGUUAUUGAACCAUCUUACUUUUGGAAAAUGACAACUAUUUGAGAUUGAGGUUGCUAAUUACUUUGUUCUAUGAUGUGAAAAGUUCUUCAUGUUUGCUUCAUGAACCAGUGUUGCCAAGGAUAUCAAUCAACAUGGAUGUAAGAGCUUUGGAAAUUUUUUUCUUUUGAGGAAGCAAAGGAUAUGCAUAUCGCUAAUCUACCAUAAAUCUCGAGACUUCUAAAUUUAGUUUGAUUUAGAAAGAGUGACUUAAACCAGUUCAUCAACCAUUGAUAGGUACUUUGAUCCAUGUUUGAAAAUCAGAAUUGGAAUUGGAAAGAUAUACAAUAUUUCAAUAUGGCUUUAGACCAAUUGUAUAUUAUUUGGUAACAUUUUCACUGGAAUGGGAUAUAAAAGAUAUUUUUUCUAUUUUUAACUAUUGUUUAGUUUCUACAUUUUCUUUCUCUAUUUGCUUUCUAUAUCAUGCAAUGACUAAGUCUUGGCACUGCUAAAUGUAGUUUGAUCAAAAGGAGCCACUUUUAAAAUCAUUUCUUGAACUACAGAGGGACAGUUUGAUUCAUGUUCAAAACUUGGAAUCGCAAUUGGAAUCAUAUACAAGGUUCCAUUUCGAGUUUAAACACGAGUAAAAUUCCUACAAGUACUGUUUCAUAAAAUUUUGGUUGGGAUAGGAAUUAAAAGAUAUUUUCCUUUCUGCAUUAGUUAACAUGCAUUCGCAAUUGCACCACCACCGGUGGCAUCUCAACCUUACAACCGCCACUAAUUCACCUCUAAAUUGAAAAAUCCAUAUGGGAAAUAACACUCAGUAACCUUCUAAAGUUAAUUUGAAUUCCUGAAAAUCACUAGAAUAACCAAAAGGGGGGUCUUUAAGGGCAAACUAUCGUUAUUUCUCUUUUUACUAACUCUUGAGAGCCAUUAAGAAGUAGCGAAUCCUCAAAUCAUGAAUGGGCAAGGAAUUACCACAUAAAUUCUUUCCAAUGACCAUGAGUUUUUUUUUUUCAAUAGGUGAUUUAAUUGUUCCAAAAUAAGGCGAUAGAGAAGAUGUAGGGGCUAUUGGCAUGGGAAGAGAGACCUGAGAAGGAUGAGCUAAAGAAAGAGAAGUUCAGGGACAAAAAGGAAAGAGAUGAGUACUAGGGGAAAAAUAGAGAGAGAGAGAGAGAGAGAGCAAUUUUAUUUUUUAGUAUCACUCAAAAUUAAAUAUGAUAAUUAGCCAAAUCCUCCCAAUUGGUCAGGAUUGAGGAUUUCUAAAUUUUAAGAUAUGAUUUCGACACAUUGGAAUCCACACCAUUUGACACCCAAAAACCCUCUUACCAAAUGCCUCCUAAAUUGUCUCCCUCUCCACCUAGGCAAAUUGAGUAACUUCAUUUGCUCAUGCAGACAAUCCAUAUCAAACCACUUCACAUGAAUCGGGAUAUGAAAAUCACUUAUGAUGUUGAAUUCAAAAGUCCCAUUCCCCAGCUUCGUAAACUAUGGAUUAAGAAUAUGGGGUUUAUGAGAAUUGCUAACUAUAUGAUUACCAAGUGUCAUAUUCUCCACUUUCUAAAAUACAAAAUACUAGGAUACUCCACAAGUUGGGAUAAACUUUUGUACGUUAUGUGUCAGUUGAUGCUGCUAAAUAAGGCAUUGUAACAAACAAAAGAAAUCAAAUGAUUCAAAAGAAACAUGCUAUAUUGGCAUGCUCUCACCAUGAUGGCGUUAUUCAUUGGUGCUCAAUAGUGUUAAUGUGGCUAAGAAGAAUUCUUAGACUGUAAAUGAUAACUAAGGUUCACAAAUGCCUUAUCCCCAGUCAAACCAUCCAACAAAUCAAUCCAUCUCACACCAGCAUGCACACGAGUAAUUUAGGUUCGGGUCCAUUUAGCACAUUCAACUGAAAAUGAAUUCUGCCAAAGCUCAGCAUGGCAAGGUGGUAAGCAUUGCGUUUGAGGAAAACUCUUUGCCAUUUGGUUGUCCUAUGCGAGAUAGGCGAGGCUGAAUGGUUAAGAUGGUACAUCAGGCCAAGACACAUCCAAAUGAGCAGUACCCCUAACUUGAAAUGGGAAACACGUGACAAGUGUCACAUGCGAAAUCAAUCCUUUUAUCUUACACCAAAGCCAUCCAUCCGGACCACUAAUGCUGUAAUGCAGGAUGGAACACCACGUGGGACAAGUUUGACUUGGGUUGAACAUCCUAUUUAAUUAAUGCGUAAUGACAGACUGUAUCGCACGCAGUGAAGCUUUAUCUUUUCCCAACAUAAUAUGAGUAAUCAGGCAAGUAGUGAAACAAGAUAAAGGCAGCAGCUACUUUUUGCCAACAGCCUACGCGUAAGCAGUAUUCACAAGAAAGACAGCAGGCAGUUCGUGCCCCUUUCCCAUUUUGUUGCCCAUACCAGGAAACCAGUAGUUAACCAUAAAUAGAAAGCAUGAUGUAUGCGAAAAAGAAAAAAGAAAAGACGACACGUACUCUCUUUCUGCGGCAUCUCUAUACCAUCCCUGCACAAUGAUCCCCUAACCAAUAAAAGAGACGCCUUUUCAUAGUUUCUGGAGUUCUAAUAGUGGUUUUUGUUUUUUCUUUUGCGGCUUUUUCUCUCCCCCCCCCCCCCCCUCUCCAACAAACAGAAAUUAUAUCGCACAUGAUUUUUUUAUUUUUGGUUUUAAAAAUAAAAAUCGUAACUAGGACCAAGUCCUCAGGUGAUAACCGUAGCAAUAAAACAUCACGCAAUAGUGAUUGAUUGAACUUUGAAGGAAACAAACGUUGCAAUAAAAUUACAUUUUCAAAACCCAGGCCGACUAACACAAAUUUAAAGAAAAAUAAACUGCGGGAGAGAAAGCACUGGAACGAAUAAUAAGAGACGAAACAAGAUCUGGACACAAGACAAGGAAGGUCGGUUAGGAGAAAAACAUGCAUAUUGUGUGAGGUGGAGGGUGGAGAAAAGGGAGAGAAAGGGAACCUGUUGGUGCUGCAGAAGUCGUAGAGCUUGCCGCGACCAGAGAAGAUGAGGACAGCAACAUCCACGUCGCAGAGAACGGAAAGUUCCUUGGCUUUCUUCAUCAGUCCGCUUCUCCGCUUGGAAAACGUGACUUGCCUGCUGUUCUUGUCCUCGAUUUUCUUAAUCUCCACCUUCCUCCGCCCCAUCCUUAAUUCCUUCGUCGGUACCCCGCUCCCCCCAAAAAGAAAAAAAAAAAGGUACGAACUGGGAGAUAAGAAAAAACAGAUCGUUGGUUCUGGUUUUUGCCCUAAUUCUCCGAGAUUCGGAAUUUGAACCUGUAUUCGUUUCUACCUAGCUGUGAGUGAGUGGUAUAUGUACAGAGGAGAAGGAAUGAGAAUUUCAUAAAGACGGCAGUCGAAGGAUUCCUACGCCAGAAUUAUUAUUUUACUGUAGGGCCUGGGGAUCCAGUUAUCGCUGAGAGCCACAUAUCACAUAUCAUACUACCAUAUUACGGUAUACGCAGUUACGCACAUAUAUAUGUAUCUCCUCCCCGUCUCUCCAUCAUAUUUAUGCAAACGCCGUAGCUCGGACGGUCAAAUUGGUGCCCGUUAUUCAAUUUUUUUUUAAGUAAAUUACUUUUUACCCCUCCAUAUUUUGAUGUUUCAUCGCGUAUCUCUUUCUAGUUUAAAAACUUAUAUAUAACCCCUUCAUGAUUUGGAUUGAAAUGUCACCAUUAGUUUUUUUUGUUAAAAUUUAACGGCUAAUAGUAAAAAAGUCAAAAUUAAACUAAUAAUUUGAUAAAUUCAUCCUUUUACUGCCUUUUCUCUUUUUUCAUUUUUCCUUUUCUUUCUCUAAAUGAUUUUGAAAACCUAUACUUUGGUCUAAAAAAUCUGAAUUUUGUUCAAAUAAAAAGGAGAUGGAAGGGGAAUUAAAAAAUAAAUAACAAACCAAAAAAGAGAUAGAAGGAGACUACAAAACAAAUAAAUAAGAAACAAAAAAUUCCAAAUCUUUCUUGACUAUUAUUAUCAUUACAGGUUCUUAAACAAAAUUUUUAAUGGUAUUUUUUUAGUUCUUAUUUAUCUAUUUUUAUUUCAAUUUCUUCUUGUGUAUAUUUGGAGGGAAAAAAAGAUAUAAUGAAUGACUAAAUUUGUCAAUUUAUUAGUUGAUUUUGACUUUUUACUACUGACUAUUAGUUUCAACCAAAAAAAAAGCUAGCAGUGUUAUUUUAAUACAAAGCACGAGAGAGUUAUAUAUAUAUAUAUAUAUAUAUAUAUUUAACUCAUAAGAGCGUUAUGUGAUGAAGUAGUAUAGAGUAAAAGUUAGUUUAUCCCAAAAAAUAGUUACUGCUAUCCUGUUACUAGUUGCUAGAGUACUAUUUCCCCUCUCCCAUUUUGAUAGUUCUAGUUCUUUUUUCAUACAGUUUAAGAAAAAGUAAUUAGUUAUGUUGAAAAAAUAAAUUUAAAUUGUUAUAUUUCUAAAAUACCCUUACAUUAAAUAAAGUAUUACUUUAUAUUAAUUAUUCAUAGAAACUUGAAUUGAUGGUUUAUGAGAAUUUCAAUUGAUGGUAAAGAAAGAAUAAAUCCUUAUUUUACAUUAAAUGGGAUAGGUUAUAUUCAAUAAUAAUUUAUAUUAAAUAAGGUAAUUUAUACUAAUAACAAUCUAAAUUGAAUAAGAAUAUUUUAGAAAAAUUUAAAAAUAAUUAUAUUUUUAAUUAAAAAAUAGACUAUAAUUUAGAAAGACGAAAAAAAAAAAUAGGACUGCCAAAAGCGGACGGAGGGAGUAGAACAAAUACCUGUGGACUUCCUCCGAAUGGGUGUUUUGCCACGUGGAGUGUGAUCUGUAAACAAAGGGAUGGCGGCUGUUGGUAGUGGACGAGUGCUGACGCUGCCUGGAACCGGUGUCAAUCCAGUCCAACGUAGGUCACCGGUCACCAUAUUCCUGGACUAUAACCCGUCUGUGCCCGCUCAACGAUGCUGAUGCUUUGUGUUUAUUAAUAAAUCACUUCCAAAUCAUGGAUUACGGAUCUAUUGCCAAUCAUAAGAAAACUUCCUGCCGCUCUUGUCUUCUUUUUUUUUUCCCUUUUUUGCCCUUUUUGAGUAUAUGUGCCUUGGAAUCUGUCAAUGCCCUUCCCCACCAAAAAAGUUAUUUUUACUUGCUUAAUUCAAGCCUGAUGAUCUUAAUCACCACAAAUUACACCACCAAAAGAGUUUGUUUAAGCCUAAUGAUCAUAAUCCCUAUGAAGUACACCCCCUCUAAUUGUCGGAGACAACUAUACCUCAUACUGGAUUUAUUUAUUUAUUUAUUUUUGGUCAAGGGGAAACUCCGAGCAUUAGGCAAGAACUCAAUGUGGUUGGGUUUCCGUCCGAUUAUUUUAUAUGUUUAAAUUUUUGUGUAAAAAUAUAUUACAAUGUAGUAUUGAAAAUCUAUGUCAGUUUUUUUAUUCAUGUACAACUUUUUACUCUAAAAAUAAGAAUGUAAUGUAAUUGUAUCUCAAGUAAUGUAAAAAGUACAACAACUGAAUAGAAUUGCACAAAACCCCAACUGUAUUGAGGGUGUGUUUGAUAAAAUUGAAAUGUGAAAAUUGAAAUCUGAAUCUGUUAAAUUGUUGAAUUGUUAAAUAUUAAAUUUAAUACAUUUGAAUGUAUAUCACAUUAAAUUAUAAAUGAAUAGUUUAUGACUUUUUAGGAUUAAUUUUGUCUAAGAAAUUUAGUGGCACUUAAUUACUUAAUUAAAUCAAAUGUUCUACUUUUGAUUAUCAAACGCAUCUAAACAUGUUAAAAUUUGAAUCGACUAAAUUUAAGUGUUGAAUUGAAUUAUCAAACGAGAUCUGAAUCCUCUUCCUCAAGCCUUAGGAAAGAGAAUGAGAAGAUGGGAAGGCUCCAAUGUUGAAUGAGGAUCUCACGUUUAGGGUUGUCAUUGGAAUUGAGUUAUAGCCCAUGCUUGACCUAUUUGGUCUUUAAAAAAAAAAAAAAAAAGAGCUAUUGAGCCUUAUAUUUAAUAGGGCCAAACAAAGUUUGGACUUGAAUAUGUGAUUCGAAUUAAAUAUAAGUUGAAUUUAAAAUUUGCUUGGCUCAAGUCCAAUUAAGAAUCAACCCAUGUGUAAGUAUAAUUAUAUAAAUAUCCUUAUACUAUAUAAGAAUGAGUUUGGGUCAAAGAAUGGCUUUGAAUUUCAACCGCAAGAGUAGGGGUAUUUUGGGAUUGGGAGGUUGUUUUGAGUGUAGUUAUAGUAUUGGGUACUACUUUAGAUAGCAUGUGUAUUAUUGUGUUUACUGAAAUGUCCUUGUAUUCUAAAAGAUGCAGUGAUGAUUUGUUCAAAGGUUUGGGUAGUUUGGGAAUGUGAGAUUAUUUGAUCAUCUUUUCUACAAUGGGUACAACCCAUAAUAGCUUCUUUAUUGGUGUAAUUACUUAAAUGUCCUUGCAGAGACAUUCAUUUUGGUUUGUAUCAAUUAUUACUGUUACUUUGCUAUUAUAACUUGAAAAACUUCAAACGUCAUUUUCAUCUCAAUUAAAGCAAGGACAAGGUGGUUUAUUAAGGAAUUUAUGAUUGAGCUUUAGUUUCAACUUCAAUUCUUCAAAUGUCUGCCCCUUCACAUUCUUCCGUUAUGUUCCUUUCGUCUUCCGAUAAAUACUUAUUUGUAUUGCCAUUGUACUCUGGAUUUCAAUAUGGUUCUCUGGUGAAGUUAUUCUUGGUGGUUCAACUUGAGGUGAGGUUUCAUUCUUUUUUUUAAUGGUAUGAUUUGCUUUGUAAAAUCGUAAUUUCUAUUGUUAGCUAAAUGCUUUCAUUCCAAAAUUGGAUACUCUGUUAGCGCAAUUUAAUGUUGAUAUUAUUGUUUCCCCACAAAGUUGGUUGUUCUAUACAAUGUAAAUGAUGUGAUUUUGUUGGAAUAGGUUUAGAAAUACAAAACUUCCUCUUUUGGUCUACUUACACGGUGGAGGCUUUUUGAUCAAAUCUGCCUUCUCUCUUACAUAUCACGCGCACCUUAAUGUAGUAGUUACAGAAGCUGGUGUUGUAGCAGUUUCAAUUAACUAUCGGCUCGCCCCUAAGCAUCCUUUGCCUAUUGCUUAUGAAGAUUCUUAGAUUGCAGUCAAAUGGGUUGCCCCUCGUUCAAAUGGCGAGGGUCCUGAGGUAUGGCGUAUGGAUUAUGCUAGCUUUGAUAGGGUGUUUUUUGGUGGGGAUAGUGCUGGUGGCAAUUUAGCACAUAACAUGGCAUCCAGGGUUUGGCUGGAGAUACUAGACGGCUUCGAUCUUGAUGUGAUUUUUCUCAAUUGUCCUUAUUUUUGGGGGAAAGAUCUAAUUAGUAUUGAGUUAAUGAAAUUACAGGUAAAGGCCUAUGUUAAGGGCAUUUGGCAUUAUGUUCACCCAAAAUCUACGGGGGUUGAUGAUCCAUUGCUGAAUUCUCGGAUGGAACCAAACCGUUUGAGGCUAGGCUUUGUCGUUGCUAAAAAAGUUGGCUACUUUCAUCAACAAGAAUGUUGUGUAGAUGCAUUUUUAAGUGGAUAAUCACUUUGUUGAUUGCCAUUAAUCAUUUGGGUAUUUGUUUAAAGUUCAUUUAGUCUUGUUAAUGAAAAGCUCAUAUACAAGUGUUUGUUUCAAAAUAUAUGAACUGAGCAAAAUAGUAUGCAUAAUUUUGAACUGAACUGAUGUUGGAGAAUUGAUUUUGCAUAUAUGAGUUCGCUUGAACUACCGUAAAAUCUUCUUUAACCACAGGCACCAAACACCCGCGCGAUGCGCGGGCAUUUCCCUCCUAGUAAUAUAUAAUAAGAGUAAAUCUUAUAUACACUGACAGGGUAUACACUAUCACCGUUUGAUUCAUGACAUGUGUGCAAAAAAUGAAUUUCAAAUUCAAAUUUUGCAUAGUUAUCAUUCAUCUAAUGUUGAUAGUGUAUACAAUGUUAGUGUAUGAAAGAUUAAUCCAUAUAAUAAUAUAUAUAAUCUAUAAUUAUAAAUUAUAAUAUAAAUAUUAAUAAUCUAUAUACAAUUUUUUAAUCAUUCAUAAAUAUUAUAUAUAAUUAUGUACUUGAUUUAGAUUUUGGGUUCAACUCAAUUUGAAUCCAAAGAUCAUGUUAAAAUGUAAAUUAAGUCUGAACCUUCUAAUAUAGGCCUGAACUAGAAAGCUCCAUUUAUUUUAUGAGCCAAGUUUGGAUUUUGUCAAAACCAUGAACACCAAUUGACAACCCUGCUCAUGUUUACGUGAUUAAUGUUCAUAUUAGUUAAAUUGGGACUUGAAAACUCUUUUAGGUUUAUUGUUCAUUUUAGUAUGACUUUCAAUAAUUUUUAAUCCUCAUUCAUGUGUCAAUAUGCAAGAAGCGAGAAGAAAAAUCUUAUUACGAUAUUAUUAAAAUAAACUUCUUAAUUUUCAUUAUGUAAUAAUGCACACGUCGGAUACACUACACACGAGUUUACACUAGCCACUAGCUUUAAUAAUCUAAACAAAAACACCACAUUCACAUUAAAAAAAACCCCAAAUCUAUGUAACCUUCCUUUGUUAACUGGUCCAAAAUUUUUUUUUUUUUUAUUAACUCUGAGAUUCAAUUAAUUUUUGAGAUUCAACAAAUAUUAGCUUAAGCUAAUAUUGAAAUCGGCCUUAAAAGUGGCCCAAACAUUUGCAUUGGAAAUAAAUGCAUAAUGCUCAAUGCAGAUUGUAGCCAAAACUAACGUAGUGAAAAGUGGAAUUAGGAGUUCCCGCUGGAGGUAUGUCCCUUCACCCAUCGGUAAGAAAAACGAUCCUUAAUCAUCGGUAAGAUCUAAUAUUUAUCUGUGUCGCUGAGCGGGCGAGUUAGUUGCGAAGUACAAGUGGCCACGGUGCUUUGGACUAUGGCCUUGAGGCCGGGUGCUGAGGCAGCGAGCUGAAUUUUCACCUUGGUGACUCACUGUUGCUUUUUAACUUCUGACAUCUACCGUGCACUUGUCGGUCAAAAGUGUUGAGCCCAAGACAUCUGUCCAUAUUCAUUUUAUCCCUCUUCAACCACGUAUGUGUUUCAUAAGUCAUCCACGGAUCAUUCAUGCCAAUGAGAAAGAAAUUAGGUAGCUUUUGUUAUUUAGUCUUGCAUUGCUCAAAUUGAGGCACACUACUAUGAUGUUAAAGCAUAAAUGCAAUAUAGAUUAAUUUUUCCUACAUUGAUAGAAUAUAUAUUAUUAUUUUGGGUAAAAAAUCUAAUAUACAGAAAAAACUCCCGUAGUUUCAAAAUAUACAACAUGACACUUCGUACUUUGAACUAAAUUGUAAAUGUGACAGAAUCCGUUAAAUUUAACGAAAAUGUAUGAAAUGACCAGAAUGCCCUGAUAUAAUUAAGCAAAAGACAGGUCAAAUAAAUCAUUUGUUUUAUUCUCUAUAUAGAGAGUAUUGAGAGUUAAGGGGUAGAAUAGGUAUAUUUGUUAAAAAUUAGGUAUAAAUUUUUUUUUUAGAUUCCAAUAAGUCAUUUCCGUUAAGUUUAACGGAUUCCGUCAACUUUACAAUUUAGUUCAAAGUACGAAGUGUCGUAUUGUAUAUUUUGAAACUAUAGGGGGUUUUUCUGUAUAUUAGGUUUACCACAGGGGAUUUUUUGUAGUUUACCCUAUUAGUUUUAGAUAACUAAUAAUUAUGUAAAAUUUGAAUUUGAAAUCAAACUUAUUCACAUAUAUCAUAGAUAUAUAUAAGAUUUAAUGCAAUAUUUUGUUCCGUAGUGUGAUUUAUACUUGCUUGGACUCCAGGGAGACUACGAGUAUAGUCGACAACUCUCUAAUAGUACUACUCUAAAAGGAAUCGACAUGAGGGAUUAAGGGUGUGAUACAUUGUUUUUAUUGAUAAUGUUAUGAUUUUAAAAAAAGGAGAAAUUAGAGUUUUGAUCCCUAAUAUUUAGUUUGUGUCUCAAACUAACCUUCAAUAUUUCGACAAAACAAAUCUAGUCCCAAAAGUAAUGGAAAAUAUAGUCUCAAACUAACCUUCAAUAUUUAGUUUGUGAUUUUAGGCUCUUUUUUAGACAACUAAUGGAAAAUAAUCAUAACCAAUGAUCAAGAUCAAAUUGGCAACAGUCAAAUGUAUUAAAUUUGCAUCUCUAAUCCCUAAUAUUUCAAAUUUCGAUCAUUAUAGUCUUUUGGGUUUUAAAUAGUUACAACUAGGGCUUUUAGAAUGAAAUAAUACAUGAAUUGAAUUAAAUAUACAAUAAAUACGAUCCUAAGUUUUUUUAAAACUUCAUAAAACACUUUAUAUUGGUACAAUAUGAUUGCAACCUAAAUAGCAUAUCUUUGUUAAAUAAGUUAUUAUUGGAUGAUAAUAUACCUAUAAUAAAUAAAACAUAAAGUAGUAGAAGAACAAAAGAAUUAUAGUUUUAAAGUUUAAGUUUAUUAUAGUUACUAUUACCAAAAUUGUUCCAUGUCUUAUGCAUAUGGAUUUCAAAUUCUUAUAGUUAGUCAUUGUAUUUAUAAAAACUAGUGAAGGUAAUUAUCAAUGUGAAGUAUUUUUACAAAUUCUUAAGAAAACUAUCUUCUAUUUUGUUUUUGUUGUCUUUCAUUUGAAUUAAAAUCUACGUUCCAAUUUGGUAGUUUUAAAACACUUAUUUUUAAUAUCUACGUACAUUAGUUAUCAUUUAGUGAUUCAUAUAAUGUGUACCAAUGCCAAUUUCAUUUCAAACUUUAUUGAUAACAUAUUAAAAUGCCAAAAAAAGGACUAACAUAAUUUACAAAAAGUAUAUAGUCCGCAUAUUUUAAAGGGAUACUUAUUAAGUUUUUAAAUUAUUAUUAGAAAUAAAAUAAUAAAACUCAUUAUCAAUUAAUUGUUAAUAGAGAGAAAUAAUAAUAUGUCGUAUAUACUUUUUUGGGUUUUAAAUAGUUACAACUAGGGAUUUUAGGAUGAAAUAAUAUAUGAAUUGAAUUAAAUAUAUGACAAAUAUAAUCCUAAGUCUUUAUAAAACUUCAUAAAACACUUUAUAUUGGCACGGUAUGAUUGCCACAUAAAUAGAAUAUCUUUGUUAAAUAAGUUAUUAUUUGAUGAUAAUAUAUAAAUAAUAAAUAAAACAUAAAGUAGUCGAGGAACGGAAGAAUUCUAGUUUUAAAGUUUAAGUUUAUUAUAGUUACAAUUACAAAAAUUGUUGCAUAUCUUAUGCACAUAGGUUUCAAAUUCUUAUAGUUAGUUGUUGUAUUUAUAAAAACUAAUGAAGGUAAGUAUCAAUGUGAAGUAGUUUUACAAAUUCUUAAGAAAACUAUCUUUUAUUUUCUGUUGUCUUUCCUUUGAAUUAAAAUCUAAUGUUCCAAUUUGGCAGUUUUAAAGCAUUUAUUUUAAUAUCUACGUACAUUGAUUAUCAUUUAGUGAUUCAUGCAUAUAAUGUGUACCAAUGCCAAUUUCAUUUCAAACUCAAUUGAUAACAUAUUAAAAUGCCGAAAAAAAGGACCAACAUAAUUUUCAAAAAGUAUGUAGUCUAUAUAUUUUAAAGGGAUUCUUAAUUAAGUUUUUAAAUUAUUAUUAGAAAUAAAAAUAAUAAAACUCAUUAUUAAUUAAUUGUUAAUAGAGAGAAAUAAUAAUAUGCAUGUAUUCUACCAAAUUUGAGACUAAUUGUGUUAAAGAAAAGAAACACAUGAUAUAUUAUUAGCAUGAAAAAAUGAAAAAAAUAAAAAAAGAUAGAGAAAUUUGAUUAGAAUAAUUAUUACCCAUUUAAUACUGUUUCAUUCUAACUUGCAUCUCAACUUAAGCUAAAAUCCUUAAUGUCACUAUUUAAAAAUUAGUGUGAUAUAAUUAUUCAAAAUCAAAAUAUUAGGGACCAAAAGUACAAAGUCAAAAUUGUUGACUAAUAGCAAUUUGAUUUUGACAGCUAGUCAUUGUUUUAUUUUUGUUGAUUGUCCUAAAUCUCUCUAAAAUUACAAAAUUUGAAGACUAGAUUUGUUUUGAUUGAAUUAUUGAGUACCAAUUUAGCUCAGAAGCCAAAUAUCGGAGGAUCAAAACUACAUCUCUCCUUUUAAAAAAUUAAAAGAAGAUGAAUUUCUUAUUCACUUUGAUUGUUUUGAUAAUAUAUUUGACUUAAUUUAUCCAUGAUUAAGUUACAAGAAUUAUCAUGUAGUCGUUGGUCAAAGUAAACAUGUCAUUCUGUUAUUUUGAACGAUGCAAUAAGUGCAUUGACAUAGAUACACGGGAUCUAUCUAACGAUUAAGAUAGGUGAAAAAAAAUUCAGUAGUAUUAAAAGGAAAAAAAGAAGUUCACAAGAUCCGACAGGACGAUGACCAUGGAGCUUAUAAAAUCGUGAAGCCUCAUUUUUUUUUUUGAAAAUUACUAGGCAAUUGAGAGGUUCUUUGAUUUGAUUCUUAAACUCCCCCGCUUCCCCUCUCCUCUAUGAGAUUUAGAAUUUCCUUUAAAACAAUAAUCAAAUAGGUAUUAAUCUUUUAUACACCAACAAUAUAUACACGUCAUUAUCAUUGGAUGCAUGAUAACAAAUUGAAUUUCAAAAUUUGUUUAUGUGUUAUAUAUUCAAUCGUGAUAGUGUAUAUAUUAUCAGAUAUACGUAAAAUUUAUUCAUAAAACAAAAUCCAAAAAACAUGACGUCGUGGAAGAAGUAUAUAUGUUCAAUUAUAAUUCUUUUGUACUAUCACAUUAGAUGUAUAAAAUUAUUUUUUUCAUUGCAAACGGAAAAAAGAAAAAAAAAGAAAGAGAGAUAGUACUAUUAUGUUUUAGUUCUGUAAAUUAAAACGUACUUAAUGUCUUUCUAUUUACGCCUUACGCCUUACCAUCAUGCUCCGCUUUCCCGUAACCGAGGAACACCGGAAUCCAAUUCGCUGCGGACGGACAAAAGAGACGGUACGUUGGAAUAAAUCGAGUUACCAAAUUGACAGGUUUUCGUUGGCUUAUUCGAAAAGGCACUUUAUUAAAAUUUUGAUUCCCUUUUCUCUCGUCUUACAGAUACAAUACAAAAAGGAUAACUGCGUCGAAAGUGUAAAGUCUGCAGUACCAAAACAAAUGAAAGAGCCGAAAAUUCACCCCUUCGACUGAUUAAAAUGGCACGGAGAAAGUUAGAUAUUUGCUCAACAAUAGAUAAUUGUUGCCCCAUUACUCAAUGUUCUUUCCCUUUCUGACCCAUUUUGCCCUUGGAGUCGUUGUCACUUUUGUUUCUGGGAUAAGAUCGACCUAUAUAUCUGAACUUGAAUUAAACACAUGAUAGAACGGUAGAUUAGAAAAAUUGUUUUUUUUUUGGUCAAUAAAAGAAGAAAAAGAAAAGUGUGAGGCAACUACGGAAAAUGUUAAUGAGACCCCUAUUAUCCUAUUUUUCGUUGCAAACUUAGGGCAUGUUUGGAACCCAAGUUUUUUUGCUAGUUUGUUUGCUAUUAGUUUUUUAACAACUUUAGCUACAGGAAUUCAAAAAAACUUAUCAAAUUUUUUAAUCUACACACUUCAAAAAUAUCUAAUACACAAAAAACUCUCUCUUUUCUUCUUCUUUGUCCCCUACCCCAAUCCACCAUACCUUCAUCGCUGGCCACUACCUCCGCCGCCGCUUCCGGCGUUGGCGUUCCCUUUUUUUUUUUUCCUUCCUUUCUCCCUCUCUCUCUCCUUCCCUUCCCUCUCCCCCUCUUCUCCCCCUCUCCUACCUGGACACCCUCCCCCUCCCCUCCCACGAGCAGAUUGCCACCCUCCCCCUUCCCACGACCAGAUCGCAUCCCCUCUCCCCUCCCUAGCCACCCUCUGGUCAUGCGACCAGAUUGGGCAAAGGGGGAGAGGGAGAUGGAGAAGAGGGGGAGAGAAAAAGCAAAAAAAAAAAAAAAAUUGAAAAGGGCUUGGGUGCUGGUUCUUUGGCUUCGGGAGGGUGAAGGGAAGUAGAGAGGGAGAGGGGAGCAGAGAGGGAGAAGAGGGGAAGAGAAAAAGGAAAAAAAAAAUUGGGCGUGCAGGCUGUUGCUUCUUGUGGGAGACAGAGGUGGGCGGGGGUAGGAAGAGGGAGGGGGAAGAAAGAAGAAGAAGAAGAGAGGAAAGAAAAAGAAAAAGGAAAGAAAGAGAAAAAGAAAGAAAAGAAAAAAAAUGGGUAGGGCCAUGGCUGCUGGGAAAGCAAAGGUAAUGGGGGAAGGAAGGGGAAGGGGAAUGGGGAAGGAAGAAGAAGAAGAAGAUAGGAAAGAAAAGAAAAAGGAAAGAAAGAGAAAGAGAAAAAAAAAGGAAAAAAAAAGUUUUUCAUUUUAAAAAAUUUUUCCAAAAAUUUUUUAACACUCUAGUGGUUGGACUUUUACGGCUCCAAUUAAAGACCUAUGUUGGACUACACUAUGUUGGACUUUUACGGCUCCAAUUAAAGACCUAUGUUGGACUAUGUUGGAAUUUUACGGCUUUAAUUAAAGUCUUACGUGAUUAAUCAAAUGUUAAUCAGAUGUUCUACAAACUUUAUUACAAAAAUUCCUUUUAUUUUUAUAUUUUUCUUGUUCUUCUAAUUUUUGUUUUUCUAUUGAUUUUAAUUCAGAGUAUUUAUGCCAAAGUAAAUCUACUUUUGCUUGUCUUAAAUUUUUUAGAAAUGAUGCGGGAUGGUGGUGUGCUACUUUAGAUAAUCUAGCUUCUUCUAUUUGUAUAUGUGCUAAACACUGGUCUGUUGUUUCAAUUUCCUCUAAAAUUUUGUCAAAAUAAUAAUAGGUAUCUGGUUGUCUGAGGCUUUGUAAUGCUAAUCUGUAUGCGUUUUCUGGAGUGGAUGUAAAUUGGAAAGGCGGUUCAAAAUUCAUAUAAAAUAUCAGGAUGAUUAACUGGAAUUUAAGAAAUUGAUGACUACUAGAUACUUUAAGAAAGAUAACUGAGAUUUUACCUUCCUUGCUUUAAAUCCAAAUUUUCCUUCUGAUGCUGUGAAAAUGGGAAUUUUGUGCUUAGGAGUUGUGCCUCACCGGAUCUUCCCCUUAUGCCUGCUUUGCAACUGAAAGGCUUUAAUGGGUACUACACCGUCUUUUGGUCUUUUAGGCUCCUAAAAACAAGGUAUCUUUUUCAGAGUUUCCGGUGGUUUGGAUCUAAUCUAGGGUUGGCUGCCUAAAUCUCUACUUUCUUAUUUCUCUUUCGUCUUAUGCUAGCAAUAUGAGAGAGCUAAAGACUUGUAAAAAACUGCUAAAGAAUGUAUGAAAUUGGAGUUUUUAUUGGAUACUUUAAUUUACGGGAUGUAAGUGCAUCGUACCCAACAUUGGUUUGGGACGUAUGCCUUUAUAGACUUCUUGUGCAAACUGUGCGAACUUAAAAUUUUUUGACUCAAAGUCCGUGGACAUGACAUGUUAACUUUACGGACUUAAGACCUUCUGAAAUCCGUAAAAACAUCAAAUCAAUUUUGCCUAACUAUACAAUGUGGCCGACAACUAAUAAAAGCAUUAUGACCGACCUAUACAUAGAUUCUAAAUAAAUUUGGCCAAACUAUACAAUGUGGCCUAAAAGCUUUAUGACCGAUCUAUACAUUAUAGCUUUUGACAAGAUGGCCGAAGAAUUAUCCUUCCAUCAUAUUUUCGAUGUUGCUCAUUUCUUCUGGUCCCAUUGUUUCCCAAUAAUGAUCAUCAUUAUAUUCUUCAUCUGCUUCGAUAUCCAAAUGCCUUGCUCCUGUGCUCAUAUAAUAUCCUUCCAAAUAUUUUUCAAAGACUUCUGGAUAAUUGGUACUUAUAGUGAAAUCUUUUUCUAACUUAAACCUGUAUGGGACAUAUAUCUUUUGUAUCUUAUUUUCAUAUACUAACCUAAUUCCAUUUUCCCAUUGAUUUAUGAAAUGUCUGUAAGCUAAUUGGAUCAUUUUAGCAUUUAUCAAUUGUUCUUUUAAUUCUAAUGGACAUUCCACUAGACUGCUGCUGAUUUUCUCUAGUUCUUCUGUCGUUCUCCUUGCUGGUGGUAUAUUGCUGACUGUAAUCAUCAUUCUAUGUAUUGCUGGUUCUAUAUCAAAAAGUCCUAUCCAUUCUGCUGGCGCGGAUUUGAUAUGUACAGUUGCCCACUGUCCAUAGUCUAACAUUUUUCUGAUGAAGUAUCCGAGAUGAGUUCCAAGACAAUGAGUAUCUUCUGGAUUUGUAACAAUAAUUUUUUCCAGGAAUCCGGCAUCCAUAAGAAACUGUGGUGUUAAAAUAACUCUUUCCCCAUUUACUCUUAGUAUCUUUGGGGAUGAAUAUUUUGAUAAGAUAAUAGUGGCUCUAAGGAAAAAAUUACUAAGUGUAUGUAUACAAUGGCUAUUUAUUUUCUGGUGGUCACAGGCUUCUGGAUUGUUUGGGCAAUGUUUUUCUGGGUCGAUGAAGAAAGAUGGAUGUAGUCUAAUGGCUGCUGUAUUUCUAAUUGGAUCUUUUGCUAUUUCAUAAAAGUAUUGUUGGACUGCCAUUAAUUUUGAAUAAUAUUGGGCUUGGGCUUUUUGGCUAAUAAUUUCUUGGAUAUGUAAAGGGAGGAAACUAAGUAGGUGAUAUGGUUUAAAGGAUAUUCUGGGCUUAAGAAAUUCAAAUGGUCUUUCUGAAAUGGGCUUUUCUUUUAUAAAAAUUGUCUGUUUUAUUGGGCCGGAUGAAGAACUGGCCAUUUGAGAUGCUGUAUGAGACAGCCUUCCUUUGAGCUCCCCAAUCUCAGAAAUUUGUGAGAGAAUAGUAUCUCCUUGUGAGCCUGAGAUUUUAUACAUUUCUUUCAGUUGUUCGGUUAAAGAUUUUAUCUUUUCUUUUUGAGAAAGAUCUUCUUUUUCAAAAUUUCUACACUUUAAAUUUAAACUUCUAAUAGCUUGCUCCAUGCUCUUACAAUGUCUACAAAAUUCUAUUCUAUUUGUGUUAUCUUUUUCUAAUGCAUAUUGAUAAUUUCUACUGCUACUAGGGGCAUCUGUAUUUUGAUAUACUGGAGCCCUCAUGCUGUCCAUGCUAGCCUUAGGAUCUACAUAAAAUGUUGUUCCUAUAUUAUGCCUAGCGAAUUCUAGUGCUUCAUGUAUGCUAUGAAAUGCUUUCCAUAAAGGAUUAUGAAAAUGAUUUAUUUGUUCUAUAACGGAAAUCCAUUUGGAAUAAAUUCCAGGUAUUUUUCCUUUUACCACUACAUAAUAUGAAAAACUUUGUUUUGGAAGAUUACUAAAAUAAAAUGCUAAGAUAUUAAGAUUUCUAACUUUAUUAGUGCUAUUUCUGCUAUUCCAGAGGUUAUUUAAGAUAUCCUGCUGGAUGUCUUCUAAAUUACCUUCCUCUUGGCUAUGGAAAUGUAGACUUGUACCUUUAGGGUACUUUGUAAGUUCCCACUGGCCAAUUUUGACUUUCUGGAAGUUAUAUGCCAUCUGCUGAGAGAUCAGAAGAAUUGUUAAAUAGUCGUGAUAAAAAAUCUGCUAAAUUAUUAUCUUUACCUUUAAUGUGUUCAAAAACUACUUUAUAUCCAUUACCAAUAAUACUAUCUACAAAAUUUAACCAUCUUCUAGUAGAACUUCUUUUUUCAUUAUGUUUAUCAAAAAACUUUUUUAUUGCUUCACAGUCUGUUCUAAUAGUUAUUUCAGACUUGUUGAUUAUAAAAAGUCUAAAAUUAUCCAAACUAUAUUUUACUGCUAAUAAUUCAUUAUCUAUACUACUUCUAUUGCCUUUUUCCUUAUAUUUACCACUAGCAUAUCUACAGAUUUGUUCACUAUUUUUACUACUAUACUUAUUUGGUUUUGCAAAAAGAACUGCUCCCCAUCCGGUACUACUGCCAUCACAUUCUAUUAUCAAGUAAUAUGUGUCUAAUGGUAAUUUUAGAUCAUGUAAAUUGCCUAUUGUUUGUUUAAUUUCUUGUAUUAGUUUGACGUCUUCUUUAUUAAAGAAUUUUUGUCCUUUUAAAGAGGUUUUAUUAUACAAUGGUGCUACUAGGUUAUUUAAGUUUUUAAUAAAAGGUCUUGCAUAAUUUAAUAAUCCUAAGAAUUGUUGGAGUUUCUUUGUUUCUUCUAUCUUAUCUGGAAAUUCUAAAACCUUUUUACAAAUAUGUGGUUGUAAUUUUAUUUUUCCUUGUCCUAUUUCUGUUCCUAAAAAUUCGAUAUUUUUUCUAAAAAAUUGUGCUUUUUUAUUACUGAUUAUUAUUCCAUGUUUAAUAAAUUCUGAGAAAACUAAUUUUAGAUGACUUACAUGUUCUUCUUUGUUUUUUGAAAAUACUAAUAUAUCAUCUAUAUAUACUAUGACGAAAUCUUUAUAUUUAUUAAAAAUAUUAUCCAUUUUUCUUUGAAAUAUGGCUGGUGCAUUUUUUAACCCAAAAGGCAUUACUAACCACUCAUAGUGUCCUAAAGGACAUGUAAAAGCUGUCCAUUCUAUACUUUCUUUAUGCAUUUUUACCUGCCAAAAUCCUGACUUACAAUCAAAUUUACUAAAAAUAUAUCUAUAUUGGAUUCUAUUUAUUAACUCAUUUUUAUCUGGUAUAUCAUAGCCAUCUUCUUUAGUAUUGUCAUUUAAUCUUUUAUAAUUUAUUACCAUUCUACUUUUUCCCCUAACUAUUUCACUAUGUUUUUUAACUAUAAAUGCUGCACUUCUGUGUGGACUAGUACUUCUUCUAAUUAUUUUAAACUUAUUUAGAUCAGUUAUAUGCAUUUCGAAUUCUUUUAUAUCAUCAUUACUAGCUUCUAUUUUUGCUGUGCUAAUUUUUAAAUUUGGAUUUAAAAUAUCUAACUUACAUUCUGUUUUGUCAUUAUCCCAAUGAAUAGUUGGAUUUUCUCCAAAAAUUUCUAAUUUUUCUAAUUCACUUAUUAGUUGGUCUAUAUCUCUAUGUCCUGUUUCUAAUAGAUCAUAUAAUUUUUCAUUAUUUAAAAUGGUUGUUAUUGUGUCAUAAUUUUCUAUCUCUAAAUAUUCUUCAAAUUCUUUAUCUUCUAAACAGUUUUGAAUUCUUUGUGACGAAUAUAAAGGUCUUUCUCCAGUCAUCUCCAUAUUGUCAAAAGAAUUAGUUUUCUGAUUCUUCCCCCUAUAUUCUUGGGUUGAAUCAUUCUUACAGCUACCUUUUAUAUCACAUUUACAAUUAUCUUUUUCUUCUAGUCUUAAGAGUCUUGUAAAUUUAUUAUCUUUAUUUAUUUUAAAUUUAUUGCUUGUUAAAAAAGUAUUAUAUGGUAAAAAAUGUUCUCUAAGGAAUGUUAAUCCUGUUCUAGUAAGAAUCAUGCCAUGAUAUGCCUGUAAAAUAAAUGAUAGUCCUAAUAUCAUUUGAUAAGGAAAACUUCUAAUAUAUAUUUCUGUUACAUGAUAUGGUUGUGUACAGUGUAUGCUAUCUAUUUCAAAAAAUAAUAAAGAAUUAUGUAAUGCUGUGUCAUAUGUAUAUGUACUUCCAUCCAUUUGUCUAGCUGUUCUAAUAUGGUAUGCUUUUUCAUAAUAUUUUUCUGGAAUUAACUCUUGUUGGAUUACUAUAUUACUAGCUCCUGUGUCUAUUACUGCUAAUAAUUGUGUUUCAAAAUCUCCUAUUUUUAUUCGAGUUUUUACUUCUAUGGAUGUUAUAUUUGAUGUUCCUGCUUGUAAUAAUUCUAGAUCAUAAUUAUGUUUUAUUUCUUCUAUUUCUGGAAAGAUUUCUAAUCUAUGUUUUCAAUAGAUACUUCGCUUUCUAUUGUUUUUCCCUUAUUUAAUUUUUCUAUUUUUUGCUCUAAAUGUUCGACCUUAUUUUCUAAAAUUCUUAUCCUUCUUUCUAAAUAAUGUUCUAAAGGCAGAUUUUCUUCAGUUUUUUCUUUUUUAAUAUUUUCUAUUAAAACAUAUUCCUGUGCAAGCUUUUCUAAACAGUAUUUGCAUCCUUCUAUAUAACAUAGCUGGCAUUGAAACCUUAAUUCUAUUGAUGGAUAUUUAUUACAGUUAUAGCAUGCUUUGCUAUAAUUUCCUUUUCUAUGUUCCCAUUUAUGGAUACACUCUACUUCAACUAGUUCUAAGUCUUCUAACAUUUUAAAAUCUUCUUUCAUUUCUUCUAAAUAUAUAUUAUCCAUGAUAGUUUUGUUUUCUGAUUUUUCUAAAAUUUCAUCUAUAAAACUUGUGUCUUCUUGUUCUAUAAAAUCUGUUAAAUUUAAGUCUUCAGAUACUAUACUAUAAAUACUUUCUGUCUCUAGUAUAUUAUCAUCUAUUUCUAUUAAAUCUUCCGAAAAUAAUUCUAUUAAGUGGGCUUCUCUAUUAAAAGAGUUAUGUUUUUGUGGACAAUUUGUUGCUAAAUGGUUUGGUUGUUUACAGAUAAAACAAGAUAAUCUAUUUCCAUAAGUUCUUUCUGGUCUAUAUCUUCUAACAUGAUGUUCUUUUUUGAGAAAUGGUUUUCUAGCUUUGUUUUUCCUAAGAUAAUAUUGUUUUUUAGGGUAUCUUUUAUAAUUUUUAUAAGGCUUUCUAUAUUUUCUUUUUUCUUUAUCUUUUUCUCCAUAUUUUUGUGGUGUGUAUAUUUCUGAGCAAAAACUAUAUUCUCCUUUUAAUUGUCUUUGUAUUUUUAUAAAAGUACAUUCUUCUACUAAUCUAUUGAUUAUAAAUCUUACUGCCGUACUCACAUUUUUUAAUGUUGGUUCCAUGGGCGUUGCUUUGUAUAAGGUAUAUAUUUUCUUUCCUAAGUCGUCUGGUAAUUUUGCAAAUAAUUUUUCUAUAAUUCCUUCAUCAUAAAAACAUCCUGCUAAACAACUAUAAUAUAAAAAGUCUUGUAAAAAAGGUUUAAUAUAUUUCCAGUUUCUAAUUGAUAAUUGUUCUAGUUUUCUUACCGAUUCUAUCUGUGUCAUUACUCCUCCUCUAUUUGGACUUGUUGCUAAUAGAAUUUCUUCUACUCGAUUAACAAAAUUCAUUGGAUUGACCCCAUGUGCCUGAUCUUGUUGUAACCUAUCUGGGAAUUUUUGUUUAAAUGCUUCCCAUGCUGCUCUUGCUACUCCUCCUAAAAAUGUUUCUAAAUAUGUAUACAUCUCUAUUACGUUAUGAUCGAAUCCUUUUUGUAUUUAAUUUCUUACUACUCUAGCUUUCCAGCUUCCUAUUACAUCUUCUAUCAUUUGUGGAUCGUAAGAUGUUAACAUUAAAGUUUUUCCUUCAUCUACUGAAUGCUCUUUUAUUUCUAAUUCUAAUGGUUUUCUUUUUCCCCUAGAACUAUAUUUUUCCUCUGGUUCUCUAUAUUCAUUAUAGACUAUUCUGGGUGGUUGUCCUGGUUCAUAUGUUCUAACAUUUCCUGUGUGACUAGGAUCAGUUUGCAUAUCUGUUGGUCUGUUACUACUUUCACCACUUUGUUGUUGUUGAUCCAUUAAUUCUCUAUAUGACAUUAUGCUGGCUACUUCUAAAUUAUCUUCUUCAGAAUUAUCUUCUUCUUCUUUAACUCUAAUAUUUCCAACGUUAUCAUAGUAUAAUACUUCGUUUAAUGCUAUUUGUCCAUUUGCUUCUAAUUUUCUUUCUAAAUCAAAUAGUUCUUUCUCUGUUAAGUCAAUUUUUAAUUCUUUUGGAUAAAGAAUCCUAUGAUUUAUUUCUAUUAAUUCUUCUUCUAAUAAAUUUAUUUCUAUUAGAUCUGAUUCUACGUCGGAUUUGUCUAUUUCUUCAUUAUCUGUUCCUAAAGCUGUUGGUUCAUAAUUGAAAAAUCUAAGGCUUGUUCUUCCUUGACUAUUUUUAUAUAUUAUACUAUCCUUUGGUAUUAUUGGAUUAUUUUCUUCUACAAAUUUACUAAUCUCCCAUUCUUCUCCUGCCAAAUUUUCUGAACUUACUUCUAUUGGUUUUAUUAAUCUUAUUCCUUUACUUGCCAUAGCCUCUACAUUGGCUUUAUUUCUACUUUAUAUCUGGUUUUACUACUAUUUGUUAAUCUUCCUAUAAAUCCGAUACUUAUUGUUAAAUUAUCUCCUUGAAAAUUUUCAUAUCCUUUAGUUUGUAUUCCUAUUUCUAAAUUUUUUAUAUCUUCUAAGGUUAUCAUAAAAUAUGGGCUGCAAUAAAAUAUUCCUCCAUUCUGAUUCAUAUCUACUUCUAUACUGGCUAUUAAUGCAUCUUCUACUUUUUUAUGUCUCUUAUCUAAUACUGCUAAUAAUACUUUUUUCCCCAAUCCUUUUCUUGUUAGUCCUUUAAUUCCUAUAACUAUUAAUCCUAUAUGCAUAUAUGUAUACUGUUUUCUAAUUUGGUUUAUGCUUUGUUGUGUUAUCAUUCUAAGAUUUACGGGGUUACUUAAUGCGCUCACUGGUUCUUCUCUGCUUUGUCUAAAUAAUCCUGUAUUACUUCUGAGAAAUCCUACUGAGUACAAGGUUCUUGGGUUUAAUAAACUUAUUUCAUUAUUCCUGUAUAUUUCCAAGUCUCUAUCUACGUCUAUUGCUUCUUCUAAAUGCAUGCUCCUACUCCUUCUUAAUUGUCUCCCUAUAUUUAAUACACUAGUUCCUACUUGUGUGUUUUCGUUGACUGUUCUACUAGGUCCUGAAAAUGAUGUUCUACUAGCCAUCUUAAAAUUUUUGUGGUUUAGGAUUUACUGAAAAUAUAUUACUAAGAUGUGGUUUACUUUCUUUCUUUGUUACAGGUAAUUUUUUAAAUUGGUCCGUUAUUUCUUCCAAAUCUUUUUCAAACUUAUCUAUUUGUAGGACUCUGACCUUUUCUGUUAUUGUAUCUACUUUUUUAUGUAAGGAUAUUAAUAAUGCUAUUAUAGAGUUAUUUUGUUUAGGAUAUAUUUUAUCUGAUGCACUAGCUCCUGAAUAAUCUGUUAAUCCCAAAGAGUCUUGAUGAUAAUAUUUUAAUUCUUCUAAUGUUUUUAGAUAAUCUGGAUAAAAGACAUAAUGUGAGGGAAGUGGCUUAUUACUAUUACUACUCAUAUAUCAACUUAAAAUGAUUUUUUCUAUUUUAUGUAAUAGUACUUCUACUUGAUUGUAAGAUUGUUUUAAUUCUAUAGAUUUUUGUCUUAUCUCUUCUAAUACUUCUUUAGUUAUUUUUUCUGUAUUAAUUUUAUGUUCUAUUUUUAAUUGUUUUAGUUCUUCUAAAUAUUUUAUUCUUUUUAUUAUUUUAUUAUUUUGUUCCUUUAAGUAAUCCUGAUUUUCUACUAGCGUCUUUAUUACUUUAUUUUUAUUCUUUAUUGAUUCUAGUAAAUUUUCUAUUAUCCGAGAAUUAUUUUCUUUAUGUUUCUCUAAAGACUCCCCUAAAGAUAUUACUAGAUCAAUAAGGCUAUUAUAAUUUUUAUCUUCUUUACUAUGUAAGGUAUGUUUAUAGGUGUUCUGAAAAUAACAAAUAUGCUUAUGAUUAUCUAAAGUUAUUAUAUUCCUAGAUUUAUUUUUUAUUUCUAGAUCUAAGUAUUCUAAUCUUUUAUCUAUCUUUGACUUUAAGGAAUCAGGCUCACCGGGAAGGCAAGCUUUGAUACCAAACACUCUAGUGAUUGAACUUUUACGGCUCCAAUUAAAGACCUAUGUUGGACUACACUAUGUUGGACUUUUACGGCUCCAAUUAAAGACCUAUGUUGGAUUACACUAUGUUGGACUAUGUUGGAAUUUUACGGCUCUAAUUAAAGUCUUUCGUGAUUAAUCAAAUGUUAAUCAGAUGUUCUACAAACUUUAUUACAAAAAUUCCUUUUAUUUUUAUAUUUUUCUUGUUCUUCUAAUUUUUGUCUUUCUAUUGAUUUUAAUUCAGAGUAUUUAUGCCAAAGUAAAUCUACUUUUGCGUGUCUUAAAUUUUACGGCUCUAAUUAAAGUCUUACGUGAUUAAUCAAAUGUUAAUCAGAUGUUCUACAAACUUUAUUACAAAAAUUCCUUUUAUUUUUAUAUUUUUCUUGUUCUUCUAAUUUUUGUCUUUCUAUUGAUUUUAAUUCAGAGUAUUUAUGCCAAAGUAAAUCUACUUUUGCGUGUCUUAAAUUUUACGGCUCUAAUUAAAGUCUUACGUGAUUAAUCAAAUGUUAAUCAGAUGUUCUACAAACUUUAUUACAAAAAUUCCUUUUAUUUUUAUAUUUUUCUUGUUCUUCUAAUUUUUGUCUUUCUAUUGAUUUUAAUUCAGAGUAUUUAUGCCAAAGUAAAUCUACUUUUGCUUUGGUCUAUAUCUCUAUGUCCUGGCUCUGAUACCAAACACUCUAGUGGUUGGACUUUUACGGCUCCGGUACACUACAGUAAAAUUUUAGACAAACUUCCAAAAAAUUUAGGUUCCAAACGAGGCCUUAGAAUGAUAAGGAAAAUUUUGUGUAGAGCUAUUAUUAACCAAUGCCAGGAUUAGGUAAUGAAUUAAGACUGAGUGUAUUUGGAUAAUAGAUUAUUUGAAACAAUUUUUUGAAAAGGAUACGGUAGUACUUUUUUGAUGUAAUCUGUGUAAGAUGAAAAGGUAAUUGAAAAAUGUAUUGAUGAUUUUGUUUUGUUAAAUUGUAAAGGGCGAAAUGGAUUAAGAUUCCCAAAGUUGAAAUAUGGGCCUGAACUCCAUGGGAUUGAUGGACCGGGUUGCAGAAGCCCAAAUAUCAAUUGAAUACCCUUACAAGCAACACAAAGUGGGGUAAAAUGUCAACGGAUAGGCUUGAGCAAAUCCCCCAGUUGCAACAGAGUCUUCUUAUCUAUAUUUUAAUUUAAAUUACGCCGUGCAUUUUACUUUUCUGGACGGAACACGUUAAUGGGGUUUCGUGAAAGAAAAUGAGAAUCCAGAGUUAUCCUCAACGAAGAAUAAUGUUUCUGAUUUAACUUGGGGAUGAACGGCCUUUUUUUUUUUAUAUAUAAAAAAAAAAUACUCUUUUAACAUCAAUGAAAGAAAUUGCAUCUGAUGAAGGAAAAAAAAAUAUGACGAGAUCAAGUCUUAGAGCAGGCAAACAUGACUUAAGGUUCGUCCACAUUAGGAGAUUAUAAUAAUAGUGUCUUAUGAAAAUUCACGCUAUUACACAAGUUCUUUAGUCAAAAUAAAAAUACAUAGAACAUCAAUUGCAUCGAGUCUUAUGAAAGGAAUCAUUAGCAUGACAGGCAUUUUUUCUUCUGAUCAUGGUAACCAACCUGCCAUGUAGUUAUUCACACUCGGGCCUGCCGCUGCCACUGUUAUUGCAUCAUUCUGGUAUCUGUAUUUCAGUGAAUAUAUAUACAUAUAUAUAUGUAUAUGUAUGUAUCAGUUUCUUCUCACUUCUUCUAUGAUGCAACAUAAAAAGGAUAGUAUACUAUACAGUACAGUAAAAUAUGAUUGCCUUGAAAUUUGAUAACAAUCUAGGUACUAAAUCUGUUGCUGUAGGAUGCUAAGUGGAAACUGAUGCGUUAUCAAAUGUUACUGAAUUAUAGAGUUCAUACCCAAUCUGUAAUGUCGGUUCACAAUCCAAUGGAUGAAAAAAACCAUCACCCUGAGCAUGAGCUGGUUGUCGGCCGUACCCAACAUCCUGUGCAUUUGGAUUCCACUGGAGAUUUACUUGGUUUCCUUCCAUCAGCUGCAAGAUAUUUAUUUAGAAAUGUUGUACGUGCUGUCAUGUUGCUGAUCAGGUGAAUGCAGUUCAACUAACGUCUAGACAUUGGGAAAGAUUUAGAUUGUAAAAACAUUUAAAGAUCAGAAAAUUACAACUUACCCUUUGUUUUAGAGUUUUGUUUGCCUCGUUCAAAGCAUGUUCCUGCAAAAAUAAAUAUAUGAUUAAAAGGUCUCAACAAUUUGAUAGAAACUUGAACUCUGGAUUGCUUGAAAAUUUGCAGAAUGUUUUAAUACCUUUCUCUGGAGAUCAGUGAGCUGAUCCAGCAUUACUUGAGUCUGCAUGCAUGCAAGGCGUAGAGUUUAAUGCACAUACAUACGAUCUAUUCAGUUUCGUUUACAGCAAAAUUUUCGAUGCUAGCUAUUGCUCCAAAAUUACAAUGUCAAUGAUUUCAUCUUCUCAUUAUCUUCUUGAUUAUUUUGACAGUAAUUCAUGUGAUGCCUAGCUAUAUAUGCCAUUGACAUUUCAAAGAAAAGUAUGAAACGGCAGGAAAAGAAGCAUGGGUCAAUGAGAGUACUCUUGUCCUCAUGUUUUAUGGUGAAUAUAACUGGAAAUCAUCCAGUCAUUAAUUUGCAGCCGCUUUUACUUUAUAUUUCUCUUAAGCAUCAUAUACAUAUAUAUUGGACUAUCUAUUGGAUCCAAAUUAAUUAGAGCAUCUAUUGCAAAGUAUCUCAAGUUUAACUGAUACUGUGAAUGUCAGGUGACUAGUAGGCAGACUACUAGAAAUGCUAGCUAGUAGGACUUCACAGGCCAUUAAUGGCUAGACUUGGCUUCAAACAAAUCAAAGAAUCCAGUUUCAAGGGCUGAUCAAUGCGAAAAUUAGAGCGAAUAGGACGAAAGUAGUGCUAAUUAAUGAAAAUUUUGCAUGGAGAAGAAGAGGAUGGGAGGGAUUACCCGUGUUGAUCUGAUUUGCUUCAGCGACAUAUCAAGCUGCCUUUCCAAUGAUUCAAGUUCCUUGCUGUUUAAAGGACCAAGGUCCUCGCCCAAAAGAUUCCUACCAUCACAACAGCAUAAAGGAAAAUGAUUUUACUGUCCUUCCACUUUUCUUUUUUUUUUUUUAACAUGCAUAAUCUAUUGCUAGGUACCUUUGUGAUCUUUGUAGAGCUUCGUAACGUGCUUUAAGCUUCAAAUACUCCUGCUGACUACUCAGCUCCUAGAACACAAUCAGUAAGUAAAUGAGAACUUGCAGUCAAUGGCAAGGAAAACGAGUGCCCUGUAAUCUAUUAUAUCUAAUGAACGGGAUUUCUAUGGAUCUAUCCAAGAAAAUAUAGAAAAGAAUCUAAAGGGCAAAUAUGAGUAUAUUUUGUCCUCUAAAGGGAAAAUAUAGAGGAAGAAUCUGAAGGGCAGGAGUAGACAAUAGGAGAGAUCUAUUAAUAUAACACAUGUUAAUUUAUACAACACAGAUUAGAUGCAAAGUUUACUAUGAAUGCCUUCUUUAUAAAGUAGUAGAGAUGGUUGAGACUCGGAUAACUUCAUGUGCCGGGUAAAAGGGAAAAAAAAAAAUAUCUUGAUGUUAAAAUUUUAUGUAAAGAAAUUCAAAAUAGCAAAAACCAAACAAGUACUGUAUAAUGGAAGUCACGUCACAUACACAUUUUAUUCUCAGGAAAUAUUUUAUUUUAAUUAGUACGUAGUAGUAUCUAAGCGACUUCUAAGCAAACUUUUUUUUUUUUUUUUUCUACAAACGGACUUCUAAGCAAACUCGUUUAAGCUUUUUGUUGACAUUUUAAGAAAUUCAACACUAAUUAAGCUAGUUAGAAUAUUAAUUUUCAACAUUUUCUCUGAUCACCAAUUAAUUAACUAACUAAUGUAUACAUACCAUAUAAUAAUAAGUGCUCACCAGUGCUUCCCUGGUGGAUAUGUUGGGCUCAGGUGCUCCAUAGUUGCAUUUCUGAUACCUCUCUAGCGUCUUGACCAUGCUGUACAGCGUCACUCUAAACAUUGUUAAUUGAGUGCAGAAAAAGGGAUUUCAUUCAUUCAACAAAAACACAAUAAUGCCAGAACUAAGAUCUCCACUAAUAAAUGUUUAUGCCAGCACUACUAUUAUCAUUAAUUACUUUCAGUUCCUCCAAGCUUCUUCUUUUUGGUAUCACAUCCCCAGUACGUAGCUAGGUAUAUUUAUUUAUACGCAAUCCUUUCUAUUUAUUCAUUCAUUUUUUUUUGAAUGACAUUAAUUAAUAAGACUUCAUUACUGCUCAGAGUUUUGUCAAAAGCAUUAAUCAGUGCAGCCGUACUGCUUUCUUUCUCUGUUAGACUCAUUUAAAAGGAGAAGAAAACAAAUUAAUAGCAAAGCACAAAAUAAUUACUGAGCCUAUGUAAUAUAGUAUAUCCGUAGGUAAUUUUUUGCUGUUCUGCCCUUUUCUGUUGCUUCCAAUGCACCUACAGCUAAUCAUGGUACUUCAUAUGAUUCAAACUACGGUUUUACAUGUUAUCUAUCUGUAUAUAUGUACACACUCACACACACACACAAAAACUCAAAAUCCCUUUAAGUUAGCAAGAGUACUUCAAAAAAAAAAAAGUGUCUAUGGCAAGCACAAUUAAAAUAAUCAUUACAUUACAAAAAAAAAAAAAAAAAAACCAGAUAUUUGCAGGAACCAUAAAAAGUUGUGAUUUUGGAUGAUCAGACACGAAACUGCAUCAAAAACAACACUGAGCAAACCCUAAAUCCGUCGUACCGAACCCUAGACCUAAUUCAAUGAUUGAUGGAAGCUCUCUCUCUCUCUCUCUCUCUCUACCCCACAGAAAAACUUCCCAGACACUUUGUUAAGCAUACCUCCCCAAGCUUUAUGGAGGAGCUCUAUUUCCCGAACGGUCCCCAAUAAAUGAUUAAAAAAAAAAAAUCAUUAUGCAUCAAUAACAUAGACCACGAAUGAUCCUAAUUAAAAAAAAAGAAAAAAGAUUUUGGAGGGUACCCAAAUUGGGUAGAUGGCAAAUUUGAAACAGAUUUGCAAAGAAAGACCGUAGAAACCCUAAAAAGGUACAAACUUUGGACAAGCAUCAUUCAAAGGAAACCCUAAAUUGUCAUGUUUGAGGAGCAGCAGCUGCAAACUUACAGAUUCAUGAGCAUCCACUCCCGGACUUCUUGUAAAAGAUGCAUUCAUAAGCAGAAAACAUUUUUUCAAUUAGCUCCAUGAACCUUAAGGGCAUGUUUUUGAAAGCAUGUAUAGAUCAGACCAUAUUGAUGACAUAGAAGAGAACGGAAACCACUACAAUUGGAUUGUUAAAAAAAAAACCGAUCAAACUCCUCCUCUUUGAGGAGUUAAUAAAAGAACUAGCUAGGAAGAUCAGAAAAUAAAGGUAAGAGAGAGUUGGGAAGAGCAAAAACUAGAUCAGCGAAAAAAGGGUUAAAGAAAACCUCAAACAUAAAAAUGGAAAUGAUCUUCUUUUCAUGGUUUCCUCUUGCAGAUCUAACAUCAUCCUUAAGCACAAAGUCCUAUACGCUCCAAAAUAUUCACCAAAACGGCAUACUUGCUCAGCACCGAAAAAGAGAAAAACAACCAUCACCCCUUCCCCCUUCAAUUAAAGACGACCUUCACUGUUCUCCUCUCCUCUUCUCCUACUUGCCAUUGAUUAUUAUUCAGAUCUCUCAAAACCAACAAUAGCACACGAUUACCUAGCUAAAGAAAUGAGGAAAAAAAUGAAAAACAAACGGGGGCAAAAAAAAAAGAGGAGAUCUUGAUAAGGAAAGAGAGAUAGUUAUAAACUAGUCUUGCUAAGAAAUGGUUAUACUCGAUAGCAGUACAUGACUAGUCGGUAUAUGGGGCGUGCAUAAAGUAGAGUUGUUUUUAUGUAUAAUAAGGGUGUAUACCUAGAGCUACUGCAAAACUCAUAGAGCUUUCCUCUAUUGGAGAAGAUGAUCAAAGCAACCUCAGCAUCACAUAGAACUGAGAGCUCAUAAGCUUUCUUCAAUAGCCCAUUUCUUCGCUUAGCAAAAGUUACUUGCCUAUUGAUCUUGUUCUCUAUCCUCUUUAGCUCCACCCUACCUCUUCCCAUCCUCUCUCCUACCUCUCUUUCCGUUCUUAUUACCACUGAAACUCACAAAUUACAACCACAACAACAGAGUAUUGUUUCCCCCUCAAAACUGCUCCUUCCCUUUUGUUUCCCUCUUUUUAUAUGCACAUCCCACAAUACAUGUAAUCUUCUACACAUAUACUAGAUAACUAUUCGGUCCUGUUUAUACAUCCCCACAGUUUAGAUGAGAAAAAUUAUUUAAGGGCGGGCCCUGAGACAGAUACACAAUUUCCCACUCUCAAACAAAAUGAGAACCCUUCUGGGAUUCUUCAAGACACUAACCACAAUGAUUAUAAGGCUGUGUGAGCGUCUCAAGGGACGGAUUGUGUGUGGUUGACGUGCAUGGUAAGGAUGUGGACCAUGGUUGGUAUCUCGGGCUUAAAAGGAUGGAUCGGACGGUGAAGAGAUGGGGUUGAGGAAGGACGACAGAGAGGGGAGGAUGGUGGGACGAAAAAAAUACUAGUGGGCAUGAAGGGUUAUUGAGGGAGGAAACCUUAAAACCUACGAGGUAAUUCGAUGUCGAUGUGCUACGUGUCAAGAUGUCAAGUGAUUGACAGCUGAUCAAAGGAUUCAGUUGAUUCAUCUCUUGACAAAUCCUUGAGAACCUAAACCUUUGUAAUUACAGGAGCUGCUUUUAUCUUUUGUGUCCUGACUGAAAUACCCUUGAAAUGUACCCCUUAUUAUUAUUAUUUUUUUUUAACGGUGAAAGACUGGUUUGCUCGGACCACUUUGCCCUCCACUGUGACGUAUAGCUGGUACUACUAGUAUUUUGUUGUAUCUGGUUGGGAAGAGGAAAUUUUUGAAGCAAAAGAAAAAGAAAAGCGGAGAAAGAGAUUUAUUUAUGAAAAAGAAGGCGAUUAUCUGCCCAAUAACCGAGUUAAAAUGAACAUAAACGCAGGGGUCAUGCGCAGCUGCCAAGAAUAUUACAAGAAUCUUUUGAAGAGUAUAAGACAUAAUAUUCGUGGAUGACCUUUUUUGCCACUAUAUAUGUAUCUUGGAUGAAGGAUAUGUACGUGACUAGCUGGUUGUAAUGAAUAGUUUCUUUCUCUGGGGCUGGGAGACUCAAUUGCUUGACGAGACCACAGAAACUAUCUGCAUAUGACCUAACAGAGAUUACUAGCUAGCGUACAACUAAUUAAACAGCAAUGCGCAAGCCAUUGCAUAAACUCAUGGCCAAUGACACUGCCACAAACUAAAAGGCAGCAAUGUGAAAGUUAGAGCUUGCAAUUCUUGUAAUACACCGUAAUAUGAAAAUCUGUGAGGUACUUGAUCAGUAAGUUAAUGUAAAUGGUUCCAGGGACAUCUUUUAUUCAACAUAGAAAUAUAAGUUGCAAAUUACCACCCCUCCUCCUUACACAAGAAUGUCCUCCUAUCAUUCCCACCCGAUCGACAAAGAGUUCUUGAUCAGAGGUUCACCAUGAUUCUCUUCCUUGUCAUCCCUUUUAUUUUCUACCUCCAAAAGAGAGGAGUAUAAGGAAAUUACUAUAUAUUGUUCUGCGAUACCUUUACAGCUUUACUUGAUAAUUAUGCUGAUAAGGGAAAUAAAAAUCAUUCGUGUCCAACAAAAUCUUAAUUUUCUCCAAAUAUAUAAAAGAGACGGAAAGAAAAUUUAAAAAAUAAAUAAUAAGAAAACAGAAAAGAUAGAAGGGAAAUAUUAAAAAAAUAAAUAAGAAACAAAAAAUACAAAAAAAAAUCUUUUUUUUUACUACAAAUAUCAUUAUAAGUUUUUAAACCAAAUCUUUAAUGGUAUUUUCUAGUUCUUGUUUAUCUAUUUUUAUUUCAAUUUCUUCAUUUUUAUGUUUAGAGGGAAAAAAGAAAAGAAGUAAUGAAAAGGUAAAUUUAUCAAUUUAUUAGUUUGACUUUGACUUUUUAUUAAUUUCAACAGAAAAGCUAAUGAUGGCGCUUUAAUCUAAUUCAUGAGGGAGUUAUAUAUAGGGGUGUGCAAAGUCGAAAAAUUUCGAUUUCGAAACCGAUUUCAAAUUGAAUUCAGAAUUUCGAUAAUUCGGAAGUGAAUUCGGUAAUUCCGAUUUCGAAUUGGUCGAAAUCGGGUCGAAUUCAAAAACAUAAUAUUUGAAAUCGGUGAUUCCGAUUUCGAAUUGAGGAAAAUAGAAAAUACAAAAACGCGGUCUCCUCCUCACCACCGUCACCUCACUAGGCUCCAGUCCCCGUUCUCAUCCUCGGCUCUGCUCUCCUUGGGACUCUACCAUCUCAUCUAUACCACCAAGAACCACCUCAAGUCUUCCCGAGAUUACACCGCCAGACCUUACCACCCUCUCCCCAACGGCGCCCACCGCCUCCUCAGACCUCCGCCAUCUCCAGCUCUACCUCCUCAUUCUUUGCAUCCUCGUCGCCUUCACCCACCAACCCUCGUUUCCUCCGAUUCCGACCCCCUCCUCAAGGGCUGCACCCCCGUCCACCGCUUCACCUCCCUCCAGUCCGCAGCCAUUCUCUUCUUCAUCCUUCUCCUCGCCCUCACCCUCCUCCUGUCUGAGUCCACCCCUCUCCUCCCAUCCUUACCUCCAGAUCUCUUUUUCGGCCUCGCCUCUGCCAUCUUCUUCCUCCACUACUCCAUCUCCUCAGCCUUCGCCUCUGUCCAGACCUCCGAUCUCCAGGCUGAGUGCGACCGUGUCUCCGCCCGGGUCUCUGCCCUCUCUUCCCUCCUCGGCCUCAUCCUCGCCUACCACCCUAGGCUCUUUUUCGCCGAUGUCGGCCCUCAUCUGUUCCCUCCUUCCUCAUUUGUUCAUUCUAAUUCCCUCCCCAAUUCGAAAAAAAAAGGAAUUCACCGAAUUUCCGUAUUCAAUUCGGUAUCGAAUUCGAAAUUGGAAUUGGCCAUUUCGAAAUCGAAUUCGGUCAGGAAAAUUCCAGUCAAAAUUUCGAAAAUUUCCGAUUUCAAACUUCUGAAUUACCGCUUUCGAUUUCGAUGCACAGCCCUAGUUAUAUAUAAAUUUUAAAAUCAUAUGAGUGUUAUGUCGUAAAAUAUCAAACUGCAGGGCAGAUAAAAGGUAAUAUACCCAAAAAAGAAUGAACUGAGAUUUCUAAUACCGAACUCCUGACAUAAAAAUAACCCACGGGAGACCAUCGGCGUAAGUGUAUAACCCAACAAAGGUGUGUUUGUCCAAUGUUGUACCCUUUGAUCCAGAAAUUGCGAAAUUAUUGAGGCAAUGGGUGGAAAAAUUGAAAAGUUCUUAAACAUGUAUAGACACAAAAUAUAUCAAAAAUUUUCUAGUGCAGCGGCUGAGGACACAGUAAAUAUCUUGGACUUGGACGCAUUUGCAGAGUCUAUGACAAGGCAUUAAUAAAAUCAACCAAAAUUGAUUCUAUGAGAUUUAUUGCGUGUUAAUUUAAGCCAUCCAUAAGUAACGUAGGUUCAGAUAACUUGCUUAGUAUGGUUUAGCUGGAUAAACAAAGUGGCAAUGUGAAGGCGGUUUUUCCUUUUUCUUUCUCUUUUCCUUGAAGAAGAGGAGAGGGGUCGCGGAGGGUUGGGGUUUAAAUUACAUUAACAUUUCCGCUUUCUGUCUCACGCAAUUGAAGAAAAAAGACAAAGGUGUUGUGUCAAAAUAUACAGGAGUGCAAAAGCACGUAUGACGUACAAGCCCUUCCUAAGCCUAAAAGAAGACAAAAUGAGGUUUGAUAUCGUAUUACAAGCACAGCCUCGUUGAUGCCUUUAUAAUGAAACAUAAAGUAAAAGAAAAAGGAAUUCUUAACACUACUACUUGUACGUAAAGAUUAUAAUCCACCAUGUUUCACCAAACCCGGUUUCAAGUAUGUGAUCAUUCUCUAGAUCUAUGAAAUUCACCUAUAUAUUGAGAUUUGUCUGGUCAUAUUUUCGAAUAGAUGGGCAAGAUUCAACCGCAGAGUCUUAGUUUAACUCAAGAUUUGGGAUAAUGCCAUGGUGACUUUACGUCACUAUACUUUAACGGUAAUUAAGUUCUUAAUUAUGAGCUAUUAUUAGCGUGUUUAGUGAUUAACUACUAGUACAUUUUGUUAUAUAAGUGAUCAUAAAAAUAUUUUCCUUAUUAAACUGUUUUUAAACAAAGCUUAAUUAUCGUCUACAGUAUGAAAUAUAGAUAAUAGUCAGGAUAACAUCGAAAAAAAGAAAACUUUAACUUUAGUAAAAUAACGAAUAUUUUGAAACAUUUCAAAAUGAAAAAGAUGACGCUUUCAAUGAGACGACAAAACUUAGCAUUUCAGAUUCGAUUGAUUGAAGUCGCCACAACAUUUGUAUUUGAUUAAGACGCCUGAGUAAUUGCGUGGAGAACAAAUUCAUAGGAGUUGUUUGUUCGAUCGGCCCUUCCAUCCCAAGCAUGCAUUUAUUACACAGUUACACGUCUUGGCAAGAGUCAAAGGUAAUUAAUAAUAAAUAACUGCCCACAACCCAUUAGUUCAAUUGUUCGUCUGAUCCAAUUUUAAUUGCCAGUGUAAAGGAAAAAAUUAUUAUUAUUAUUAUUUAUUAUUGGUAGUCAGGAAAUUAACGAGUUGACAGAGAAUGCGAUUACUUUCUCCGACCUCUUCCUCUAAUAGUUUUUCCGUAUAUAUACGCAGGUGCUUGUGUUUUAUCCUUGAAUUCACCAUUUAUAAACCACUACCUGGACAGCUUAUCCAAUAAGUGCUAGCUCACUUAUAUAUGUAAGAGAGAAAGCAAAUAUAUAUAUAUAUAUAUGUAUAUGUAUAUUUGCAAUGAUAGUUCCUGUACCAACUGAACUUACCAAUUAGAAAAAAAGAGAAAAAAGGAUUCUUUUCAUCCUUUAAUUAGGCUAACAUGUCAAGAUUAAUUAAGCGGUACAUAACAAGAGCAAGGACGAGAGGAUGUUUGGAAGAGCAAACGAGAAAAUGGUGCUUUAUAUGGAUACUUGGAUUAAUGGUAAUUAAUACUUGGAUCUACCACUAGUUGAGUUGUUAAUUGAUGUAGAUUUUGUAACCGGUACUUCUAAACGAUCCUCAAUCGUUAGAAUACGUAGAUAACCAUUCUUCUCCUCUUUGGGUUUGAAAGCAAAACAUUCCAUUUUUGCCUCCGACUUGAAGACGUUGCAAACACCCAUAUUGCCAAAAUGAGGAUAUAUAUAUAUAUAUAUAUAUAUAUAUAUACAUGCUCAUACAUGUGCGUGUGAAAGCAGAAAAUUUUUCAAGUGGACCUAAGCUAAGCAGUUGUCAAUUGUGGAUUAAAAACAAAAUUCUGUGAUUAUGAAUUAAUAAGUCGUUAUUAUAUAAUCUUCCAAGAUGUUGACGUACUGGUAUCUCAUUGAUUGUGGUAAUAAGUUUUUUAUCCAAUGUCUUGCCAUGUUUAACGCGUUAACCAUUUUGUCACUAAAACAAAACAAAGCCCCCUCCCUCUUCUGACUACAAAGGAAAAAUUUUUUUUUUUUUUUUUUUGGGUGCAAGAACAACUUAGAGGAGGACCAAAUACUUUGAAUGCCUCCAAAUUCCACCCCAUUGGACUAAGCAUGUCUUCUUGGCCGGUGAAAAAUUCAGAAUUGGUUACGACCGAGAAAGGACAAGUCUUCUCCUGCUUCAGGCCAAAUCACAGCCACAGUUCAAAUCUCUUCUAAUCUACCUGUUUGAAUAUUGUGACAUUUAUCUAACGGAUUUGUGGGAAAACAUCUACUUAGGUCGUUCGGAAAUUGACCCCGUGUUCGACCAUCUAUCUGUUCAUGAGUCAUGAUGAUGAUCACCUCGAUCAUCUUAGCCCUUCUUUGGCUGAUUUUAACCUUUUUUUUUUAUUUUUAUAAAUGUCAUGGAGAUUGACCCGUGUUCAAAGAUGCUCAUGCUACGUCUCAAAAUUACGGGUCAAUUUUGAUCAAUCCCGGUGGUUCUUUUUUCUUUUUGGGGGGGGGGGGGGUUUGGGGUGUCACCUUCAUUGAAAUUCUUUUCGUCUUUGCUUGUCAAAAUUCAGAUCAACCCAGAAAUUCCCCCGUAAGUGUCUGGAAAAGAACGUGCAAAUACAUCCCAGCGAAACAUUAAUAUAAGAAUGCUAGACAAACACACUAGCACCAAAAAAAAAAAAAAAAAACUUAGGAAAAGGGGAUAUAUAUACCUUUUCUCUUCUUGAUAAUGAAGGAUUUCUAUUGAGAAAUAGCCGCGUUGUGGCUACUGUAGCUAUAAAAUAAAAAAGAAAACAAGGCACUGACUUAAAGAAGACGAUGAAUGUCACCAGACAAUGGUCCAAGUCAUGCUCCAGCUAUCUGUUAUUUUCCCAAAUGAAGCAAAAAGGAAAGGUGGAUUUUUGUGUAGAGCGGUCCAACAUCUUUUUUCUUUAAGCAAAAAGCGAAACGCAUGCAGAACUCUUUAUGCUUCAUUCUAUGUUUUCUACAAACUUAUUCCCCCGCUUCAAUUGUGCACCACCAACCUUAGGCUCUCAAGGUAAAUAUGGUGAUAUGUUUUCUAAAUUUUCAAAUAAACUCAACAUAUUUGCUUUUAUUUCCUUUUCAGUCAAAUGACUUUUGUUUUAAAAGAAUUACGUAGCCAAGACAAAAACAUUCUCACUAAAUAAUUAUGAUCAAAAUUUUUUUUUUUAUACAGUGACAGUAUAUACACUAUCAUUAUUAGGUGACAAUUAAUCUAAAUCUGAAUUUGAAGUUUAAAUUUUACAUGUACGUCGUCAUAUGUUCAAUAAUGAUAGUGUAUGCAGUGUCAAUAUAUUUAAGAUUAAGUUGAAUAAUUAACUAAUCCAAAACAAGGUGUAUCUGUGACUAUAUAUGAGACCAUGACUCUUAGGGGCUGCUUGGCAAAUGGGUCUAAAGGGUAGGAAUGGGUAUCAAAACUAAUGAUACCCUUAUUUAUUGUUUGGUAGACUACUAUGUCAAUUAUUCAAUGGGAAUCAAAGUGUUAGAUCUUUCUCCCUAUGAUUCCCUACUUGAGCUUCAAAUUAUUUAGGUCUUUGAUAUAACGAAAACUCAUUUAACUUUCAAAACCAAACAAGGAAGAGAGAAUUACCGAACUCACACUCAUACUGGAAUUUAUAAUUCUCAUUCCAAUUUGGAUCCAGAUUCCGAAAUUUGAACCAACAGCUUCUUAAUGUAUGAAUUGCCAUAACGAUCACACGUGGAACUGCAAACACGAGCUUUCACACCUGUGCUCGCAUUUGCUCGUAAUAUUUGAAUCGAAUCCGCAUUGGGAAGUUGGAAUCAAAUCCUUGCCGAAACCUGAAUUCGAACAAGUCCUUGUGUGAAAAAGGGAUGGGAAUUAGAAUUAACAGAGAUAAACUUUUCCUAGAAAAGUAAUGCGUACUUGUAUUCUGCACAUCAUUUCUUCUUCAUUGCUUUGCUAUAAGCUUCUAAUUCCUCGUCCGUCCAGUCUUAAACUCUGCACCUCUCUUUUUCCCUUCUCAAAUCUUAGCUAUCAUUUACUUAGUGUAGUAUUUGUCCCAUUGAUUUUUUUUUUUUUGCCAAUUGUGAACACCUACCGCACCUCUAUUCUAAUCUAUUUAGAGGAAAAUUCAACCGGAUUAAAAGAGGUUAGAGAACCUCUAAAUCAAAAGAAUGUACUAUUACACACCUGCAUCCUUUUGAAUCUGUACCUUAUACACGAUUAGCUCAUCUAAGGCGAGUUGGUUGUUUCAUUGAGAUUAAAGGUUCUGAUUUUUGAACUUGGUUACAUGGCAAUACGGAGUCAAAUCAGUCAAUUUAAUUGGAUGCUGGAGGGAUUGUGCCGCAAGAGCACAUUAUAUUAAUGGCAUGUCCAGCCUCCCAGUCUAAGUACCAGGGAUAAACUGGGUUUGUUUGGAUAGAGUAUUAUUCGAAAUAUUAUUUGGAAUAAUUACUGUAACACUUUUUGUGAUGCGAUGAAUGUGAGAUAAAAAGAUGAUUGGAAAUAUAAAAAGGUGGGUUGAAAAAUGUGUUUAUGAUACAAGCGAAAUAUUAUUUGGAGAAAUCUGCUAUCGAAACACUCCCAUGUUUCUUCUUCUUUUUUUUUUUUUCCUAGAAUGACUCUAAAUACACGAAUACUACCACGUGACAUUUAAUCACCCCAUAUAUUAUAUAUUAUAUAAUAAUAUAUAGCCCCAUGCCCAUUCUAUUGCACUUUGCGCUUCUUCGUAGCUGUAGUCAAUACAUCUAGCUCCAAAAAUGACAUGUGACGUUCAACCUCUUACGGCGGUGGGGACACCAAAUACACUGCAUCGAGUAUAUGUGUGGGGACAGAGAUGGAGCCCACGUCGAAAUAUCAAAUACGGAGGCAGCCUACCCUCAGAAGAUAAAGAGGGAGCAUAGAGCAGCAAUGCACAUACACAUAUAAGAUUCAGAGCUGUUUCGUGGUCCAUUGUUUCUGCUAUAGCUUGCUGACCUCAAGAACGUUCGUUGGUGGAGUCUCAAUCUUAAAUCCGGAACUUCAAUUCCAUAAUUAAUCGGAGGGCCAGCUAAAGAAGCUCGAAAUGAUGACUCGAUAAUGCAUUUCUUUUUGUUUUACAAGUUAAAAUCGAGAGCCUGCAGUAACCUUUUUCUUUAUGAUGAAUCGGGAAUUUUGUUUUCUGCUAGCCUAUAAUACGACGGAAAAGCGGAACAAGCAGAGUGAGGGCGGAGGGGCCGUGUACGGAACUUCGCGGACGUCAAGAUGGGUACGACUUCUUUUGGCCACUAACCUGUGCAACUAAAGUAGUACCCACCGCCCAAAAGGAAAAACAAGGAAGAACAUUACAUGGCAAGCAAGACUAAAAAAGAUGAGUGUUGUAAUAACUUAUAUAAUUUAUUCCUAAGAGUCAGUAUAAGAUUAUCUUUCACUAAAUCGUCGUGAGAAAGCGUAUUAACGUCUAGGCAUAUGAUUGAGUAUAAUGUGGUGGAAAUGGUUUGGAUCAUCAUCAUCAUCAUGCCUCAUGAGCAACUUCACACUCAUAAAUCCAAUCAGAUGCACAUUGCAAGGAAAAAGCAGAAAGUUAGAGCCCUUGGCCAAUGGUCAUCCUUGUUCCAACCCCCUCCAAUCAACCAAUGACUCGGACAGAAGAGAUUGCGACGUUUUGCGAAGACAACUGUGCGCUCAAUAAAUACGACGUUCCGGCUCAUAGAUCGGAUGGACGAGACACGCGCACCCACCCAAGAUGAUGGGGUUGUUUAGGUUGGAUGAUCUUGAUCUAUCAAGCAAGCCGCUGUGGCCUUGUAGCCAAUAGGGCCAGAGCAGUAGGGUAGGGUAGGGUAGGGUAGGGGAGGAUGGGAGAAAGAACCCCAUUAAAUUGGAUUUGGGGCAGGGACGGUCAUCAGUAUGACCGUCCCUGCACGGUUAAAAAUUUGUGCGGCUGAAAAUUGGCCCUCAAAAUUUUGUGCGGCUGAAAUAACACAAUGUAACUCGAAAUUCGCGCCAAGUGUGGCGCCCAUCACUAUCUGUUGUGAAAAUACAUCCUGUGAAAAAAAAGUUACGCGCAGUUGAACCAAUGUUACGCGCAGUUGAAAUGAGCUAAAAUUGGCAGGGACGGUUGCACCUGCAACCGUCCCUGCCCCGAGUCCCCAUUAAAUUAGAUGUGAAUUACUACAUUACUGCUUUUAAAGUGGAAUUUCCCAAAAUAGAAAGGCCAUCCGCGUGUCCCGGUAUCUGAUGUUGAUGCUGCCCGCCCUUUUAAGGUUGUAAAUCUGACCCGAUUUGUACUCUCCUCUCCGCCGGGGCCCGGGGGGUGAGGGGUCCACAGUACCGUUCAUCAAUUUGCAAAAAAGCUUCGUCUCUCUUCACUCCAAUUCAUUGGUCCCCCACUCAGCUGCACCAUCAUCUCAGCUUCACCUCCCCAAUUGAUUGAAUCUUGGCCAAGCAUAAAUUCUUUUGCUCAAAAUUCAUUUAUUUUGACACGUACUAUUAUAAUAUAACCACAGCGUUGUUUUGCAUUUUCUUGAGAACCCCCCCAGUUUGUUGUGUAUUUUAGAUAAUACCGCUAAUUUCCGGCAUCCGUGUGAAGUGGGCCCUCUCUCGUGGUACUAAUUGCACAACACCACCAUGCACCAUCACCGCAGCAGGGGAAGGGACUAAAAGUAAAAGGAAGAAAAGUAACUUUUUUUUGUUAUCUUUUUGGCCAGAAAUGCCCACUUCACACAAUUUUUGACUGCCAUUGGUGGCAAAGCGUUUGCAUAAAUGGUGUUUGUGAGUGUUUCCUGGAAAACUUUUUUCUGCUGACCACUCAUAUAUGGAAAGUAUUGCAAUUGAGUGAACCAUGUGAAGUGCAAUUUCUUUUGAAGUUUGUCUCUCUCCUGAAAAUCUCUCUCUCUCUCUCUCUUAAAAGUUAAAACCAAACCCAAAAAUCAAACCAAAAAAAAAAAAAAAAAAGGAAAGAAAUUCUUGCUUGUUGAUCACACAAAAAAUUGCAAAUGCGGGGGAAGCACUUUGUAGGGCGUUAUUAAUUUGGCCAAAACUGGCUGAAAACUGCACAAAAUAGAGAAGACAAUAGGAAAAGCUUUGUUGAGCUUGAUCUGUUUGUACAUUUGAUUGACAGUUCAGAGAUCCAAAUUAGAAAAUUAGUACUGCCUAAACGACCACUGUACUGUAACUGAUGAUUCUCAAGAUGAAGGGGCAGUACCCCCCAAAAAAAACCACAAAAAACAACAAAACAAUACAAAAAAAAAUAGAGUACUUGUGGUGGGUUCUCAAAUUAGGAGCUGUUUAAGGUUAAAACCGCUAUUGAUCCUUGAAAGAAAACCGAGAAAUGAUAAUCUCAACCAUGAGGAUGAGGAAUGUUAUUGGCAUGUCUGCAUCAGCCAUGUGGUGUCAUUAAAUUUGCUCAUGUUUUGGAAAGCAACCUCAGAGCCAAGUGACAUGUUACAGCUGCUAACAGCCUUUUUUUUUUUUUUUGGAACCAAACCAUCAUACUUUAUUAUUAGCAGAAUAAGAAUUCAUUUCUCAGGGGUAAGCGUUGGAAUAUAUUGCGUGAAAGGCUAAAAUGUCCUACGAAUGAUCUAUAAGGGUAAUUUUGUCAAAUUAAUAUUUUAUGGCUGCAAGAAAUUCCGCUAUUAAUUUCCCCAAAAAUUCUUGAGAUCUAACACAACUGUAAUUAUCAUUAACGACUUAGUUAACCGUGAAGUGUCUAAUUCGAGACUCUCUCAGAGUCUUCCCUUCCUAACAUUUAAAACCUCCCUUGAACGGUUCAAAAGAAAAAAGAAGAGAUUCUCAAUAAAGGGUUGUUAUCUUUUUGUUCAUUUUUUUUUUUUUACCAAGCAAGUUAAGACUUUUGUGGUAAUAAACUAACCCGAAUCCCGUGAGAACCCCAAAAGCCGGUAUCUCUUGAGGUCUCACAGGGAACUAAUAUACUACCCUAAUCCCCCUAACAACCCCGAUGUGGGAUCUUUUUGUUUAUCAAUUAGAAAAUUUUUAAGAGAGAGAGCGAGAGAGAGAGAAUCUUUCUUUUUCUUCCUUUUUGGGCUAAGGUGUUGGUAAAUGUACGGUGUACGCAAAAUGGUAUGGGUCAUGAGCAUCAAAUACCAGGCCUACAAGUCAUUGCUGGCCCUGGGCUUUAUACAUGCAUAUGAUUUGUACUUAACAUAGAUAAUGGGCUUUGAAUCAUUUGUCCGACCAUCUGAUUAUGCAGUAAAAGCCCAUAUACAAUGUCCAGCUACGUAGAUUGAAAGAUAGCCAGUGAAACAAAAAAGUUGCUUCUGGAAGCCCAUGGAUUCGAUUCCUCGUCCGCCACAAGCCUCGAAAGUGUGUCAUUUUCAAAGGAAACACUUUUUUAUUUUAUCCUCCUCCUCCGGAAAUGUGCGGACUAAAUAUUCCUUAUUCUAAGAACCAUCAGCAAUAUAUAUAUAAGCUUUGGUAGCAGUAAUAUAAUAAGUAUGCCUGGUGCAUGCAAAUGCAGAGGCUUUUUUGCUAUGCGGGGAGAAAUGCUAAAACAAGACUGAAUUUAGAUAAUCGCUUUGUGGAAUAUUAGCACGGCUUCAGAACAAGAAAACUGUAUACCCCGCCCCCGGGGGGGGGGGGCUAUGUACAAUCUUCCAUAACAAAGGAAUAUAUAUAUAUAUAAUGAGUGAUGAUGUCUUCUGCACGCUUAUUCUUGAAGCUCGAACAACAGUAGAAACAUCCAAACUACAUCACAACACAUCAGAAAGUGAAACGACUUCCAUUUCAAAGGUUCUUGUAACAUAACAAAAUUGGACUGCUGCUUCCUAGUCGACUAGUCACUCGCGUGACUGAGUUUCACGCGACACACCAUACUGCACCAUAAAAAAUUCAGCAAGGCUACAUGUAUUUUCCUGAUCAGUUCACCAAUCAGUUAUAAAGGCCUUCGUUCAGGAUGCUCAAUUCUUCGAGUCUGCGACGCUCCUUUACGUGAUUAAUGUAGCUUGUGGCCUUUGUGUCAACUUGUUCAUCUCCACCAAUGCCUGUAGGGCCGUGAACGUAGCCAUCCGAACUAGGAAAGCCUCCGCCUGGCUGUGAGAAAGACUCUGUUUGCACCGCGGCCGAAGAUGCGCGCGGCUCUGGCUCAACCUUUGUAGCAUAUUGCAUCAUAGAUGGUGCAGGUUUAGCAGCUCUGUAGAAAGACAUAACCAGCUUGCUCUUCAGAAGGCUGCCUCCUCCUCCACCUUGCAUCCGGUUGGCGAUCUCCAUUUUGAGUUACAGCACAAAAUUAGAAACUUAUAUACAAUUUACUGGGGGCAGCUCCACUAUUUAUUGGACUGAGGUUGUUAAGAUAAAAAUGAAUCUUCUUGAUGAUCGAUCAGUGGUCCCCUAGCUAAUUACUGCUUUGCAGUCAUAUAAUACUCAAUUAGUUGUAGUUGGAUAUAUUCCUCUUUAUAUUUAAUUCCAGAUUCGGACCCAUUUUCCGAGAUAUGCUUAAUGCAGAAUUGCGUUGGUGGAUUAAAACAUAUCCAAGGAAAGAUUGAGCCGACUGUGGACUUUCUUUAUGCAUGGCUUCCUGCUUCGCUUUUUAUUCUCUGUGUCUAUCCCGUGAUUUGGUACAAGAUCUUGCGUUUGUUUACUUAUUCUUAUUUGUAUGGUGCUAUAGGCCAGGCUCGGUUGGAGCUGCCUUUGACGAACUAUAGUUAGAAAGUACAACUACUAGUUCAGCGCCUUUAACUAAGAUAUACAUCCCUGAUUUCCUGUGGUCCUGGAACACAGCAAUCACCAAUCAGCGCUGCUCGAUGAUGAUGAUGUUUAUCUCAUGCAAACAACCCAAUAUUGUGAUAACGUACUGGAGUUGAUAAUUCAUGCACUAAGAGUGGGGAUCAAGCGAGUUGCCACUCCAAGACCUGCCGUGUAAAUGGCCUGCAUAAGAAGCUUGUUGCUGUGAAUAAAUGUUCAUCAAAGAUAAAACUAAUCAAGAAACUCAACAUAGAAUUAGCCCAUAUAUCAGAGAAUGAAGAAAGUCCCUCCAGAUGAUUGCGUAUGAAACAGACCGCAUUUGCAGAUGAAAUUCUCAGCCUGACCUCCUUUCACAGUUGAUUUUAAUUAACCUAUGUCAUUAUUUCAUUACAAUGAUCCACUAGCAGAAGUGGCAGAAUUACUGUUGUAUGACUUUGUUCUCAAACUCUGUGAGGCUGAGGAGAGAAUUUUCAGUUCAACGGCUGCAUAUCACAUCAGCUUAUGCAUCACAACAGACUAGGAUUAUAAUUUGGAGUUCCACUUUUGGAGAUUGUAAAUCUUCAGCACAGGAUCCUGGGAUACGCAAUUCCAUUUUCUCCAACGACCAUUAGAUAAUUAUACUACUUAAGAUGGGAACAACUGCAUUGAAGUUUUUCUCGUUGCAGAGGGGCUGAAUUACCUGGAAGUGGAGAAAUAAGAAAGUAGGUGAAUGGUGAAAUUUUCAUUUCCUCAACAGGUAUCAAGAAUAGGUCACACAGAUAAAUCUAGCAACAGCAAACAUUCUUAAGAGGGAGGUGAAAAAGAAUUAGUGUCUAGUACAGCAACAGUUUAUUGACGCAGUCAGCACAGUGCAAGCAACGGCAAUUAACGAGAGCUACUCCCACAGGAAUGUUAGAGUCUGCUGAGAUCCACCACUUGUAGAUGACUCUUCAGGUCCAUUCUGAAACAUUUCCUGGAAAUGAAGGGUGGCAUUGUUGCUCACUC
This 76893-nucleotide long non-coding RNA is filed under the name Coffea arabica (coffee). Its description in RNAcentral is "long non-coding RNA (CARA_LNC007992)". Lineage: Eukaryota; Viridiplantae; Streptophyta; Magnoliopsida; Gentianales; Rubiaceae. The record is from RNAcentral.